AGCUUCGCAACCAAUGCCCCUUCCUUUGGCAAUAUAAACAUAUGGACCCUUUGAUAAUGGUACACGGGACUAUCACAAACUUAGCCUUUCUCUUUACCAUUUGGUCAACCGAGUUGACUAUGGCCGACCCAUUUCCACUGGGAAAAGAGAGCUUUACUAGAUAUCCAAUGCCAUCAUUGUCGAUAUCCAUAAAGUUUUAGGAAGAUGAUCUUAGCAAAUGGAUAAGAUCCUUAAGGGUCUUGUCUUAGUCUGUUUCAUAGGAGUCCCAAAGGAACUCACUAUGUGACUUAGAAAGUAGUUGAACCACCAACUUUCUCAAGACUUUGACACCCAACUCUCCCGGCUUGUCAAUAUGUGACUACAUCUCCAAGAUGUGAUCACACCUAGACCUUGCCUUGCCAAUAGGGCUUGAGUGACCUUAAACUUUUCAAGAACUUGUGGGUUAGGGAGAAUAAUUGGAGGAGGUGAAAGAAGUAUGAUUUCCAAAGGACAUCAUCUUCAUUUAGGAAACCUUGUUUCAAGAGAUUUGGGAAGAUCAUAAAUGUCUAAACCAGACAUCUUUUGGUAGCUAUUCAAGAUAGUUGAUCUAAAGUCCUUACUAUGACACCCAAUAAGAAAUAUUAAGGCUAGGACCCAACAAACUAUUUUAUAACUUAGAAGAGGUAUGCCGUAAUCCAAGCUAUAAAAUAUUUGAAGGUAGGUGAAUGAUGAUUCACCAAUUUCCACCAAGAUAAACGAAAUGUAUUAUUAGGUUUUAAUUGGUUUUGAAACUCCUAGAUCUUUGAGAUUCAUUGAACUGUUCAAAGGCAUGUUUCAAUCUCGAGUGUGCCCUUCAGGUUUUGUGACUGGGAUGCCGAGGAUCACAAAACAAGGUGUGAAGUAACCAUGCAAAUCACUUGGUACCCUUAAUAAAUUACCCCUCAAUCGAUGUGCCGGUUAACCACACACGCUCCAUCGAUACUAUGAUAAAUAUUAAGUCACCCUUUACCUACCUUGUUAAGUCCAAGUUAGUGUGCCGGUUAACCACACACGCUCCACUAACGACUUAGACAAAGUGUAAAGUGUAAUUUCAUGGAUUAGCACCUUAUUCACAUUUUUCCUAAGUAACUAAGAUUGGGUAUUAUUAAGAGUUUAGUUACUUAGUAUUAUCAUUAAUACUUUUAAUGAAGGGAGAAUUCUAGUCCUGUCAAACCCGUUCGGCUAACGACCCUCCACCAGUCAAGCAAGCGGUGGGUGAGAGUGGACACCCAUUAAGUUGCCAUUUUAUAGGCAACAACCUUAUACCCACCUUAUAGACCGGCUUCGUGAAUGAGGCGUACUAGCGGUAAGACUGACUUUACUCUUAUACAUAUAUAUAUUAUUAACUUAUAAUAUUAUAAAGUAUAAGGGUUGAAUUUUAACUUUUAAAAUUCUAAGGGCUAACUUGGAAUUAAAGUAUUCAUAAGUGAAAACUUUACAAAUUCCAAAACUUGAGGGCAAGUUUUGAAACUAUUCAAAACUAAUUAAUUCCAUAACUUAUGUGUUUAAAGUAGUUUUAAUCCAAAAACUCUUCAAGUUCCAUAACUUGAGGACAAGUUAUGGAAGACUUUAAACUAAUAAAAGAAUUAACUUUUCUUUAUUUUAUAACUUAUGGAAUUAAUUAAGGUUUUACUUUUUUUUUUAUUUAUUAUUUAAUGAAGAGACUCUUGGUCCUCCAUAACUUGAGGACAAGUUAUGGAGUCAUAAAACCAUUUAAUUAGAACUAGACUCUUCAAUUUUGUAACCUUUGCCAACUUUUAUGAGUUUUAUGAAACUUAAAUGUGACUUUUCAUAUAACUUGAGGACAAGUUACAAAAACACAUUUUAGAAUCAACUCUUAGAUUAAUUUGGAUUGAAAACAACUAUUUCACUCAACUUUUCUAUUAAUCUAAGCAACUCAUAAGAACAAGAUAAUUCAAAUCAAACUUUUUCAUGUAAUUAGUCUAAACCUUAAACUAAUACAACACAUGAAUCUAUUGACAAUUAUCUUUGAAAUUGGAUUAGCAUGAACAUUACCAGAUCAAAAACAGGUUUAUAAGUUCAAAAACAACUUAGGGUAACGUUCCUAGUCCAUUUCUAGCCAAAAACCUCGAAAAUAUGUUGUUUGGGGCUCCUACUCGUCGAGUGCAUGAACCUACUCGACGAGUAGGAUGAUUUUACUCAUGGACUCGGCGAGUCCAGUGCCCAGAAAGCCAGAAAAAUGAGUUUUUUUUAGCAUUUUUCAGCAAUUUGCAUCAAAUAUAAUUGAAAACAAGCCUAGUCUCUGAUACCACUGUUGGGUUUUGAGCAUUCUAACACUCCUAAGUGUACAUGCAACCCUAAAUACCUUGGAUCAAUGUUUUCUCUAUUAUACAUGCAAAUAUGAACAUCCAAGGUAUUAUCCUAAUCUAGCAUAUACAACAAUGAAUGUAACAAGAUAGAAUACAUACCUCUUUGCUGUAGAAAGUCUUCAUGAAGCUUGAGUGCCUAGUGCCCCAAGUGUGACACCAAAAAUAGUUCACACAACACCAAAUUCACUUGGAAUAACUUGAGAGAAUUCUACCCUUCAUGACAAUCGGCUAGCCCUCUCUAGAAUGAUACUAGUGCCGAUUUUGGUCAAGAAUAAGAUGCAUAUAUAGUCAGGGUUACACCAUGUAAGCCCUAAUUGACAUGGCCUUUCAUUUCCAUGAUCCAUGGGUACAAAACACCAUGGAGCAUCAUAUGGGUUUUAGCCUAACUAGAUAAUCCAUGGAGCAUUAGCCCACUAUAUCAGUAUGGAUCAUUUGCACAAUCAACUCAUAUAUUUAAUUAGUCUUCUUUUGAUCACUUAAUUAAUCCUAGAUUAAUUCUUGAUCAAUACUAAUUAAAUAAUCUUAUUAUUCUUAUUAUUAAUAUACUAGAACUUAUAAUAUAUUAAUAACCAUAAGUGUCUUAUUUCUCUCAUUAUAGUCUAUCCAAGUGCAUGAUGCCAUGCAACCCAAAUGGACCAUGCCGGGUCGGGUCAAGUCUUACCAAUUAUAGUUAUGGACUUAGACANAUCACAUACACAUAUCAUGCUAGCAUAUAACAUAUCAGGUAGUAGCUAUCCUAGAUGAUAUCACAAAGACCAUCAUAUAUCAUACGAACCCUACUGGUGGGCCGACAUUGUGGCCAUAGGCCCACCGCUACUGGAAGGUAACUCACCUCAUAGCAGCUGCUAAACUGUGUGGGAAUCCUCUGACUGCUGCCACUGCUGCUCCAGAAAUCCUUCAGCUAUAAUUCCCACAAAACACUUAGCCAAAAACUGACAUCUACUCUUAGGGUAAAAUGAGCAUUUUACCCCUGACCAAGUUAAAGUCAAAGUCAACAUCCAGUUGACCUGACUCGUCGAGUUGGAUCGCCAACUCACCGAGUCCCUAUCCUUCCAUUAGACCUCAUACCCGACUCUACUCGACGAGUUAGGCGAUGACUCGAUGAGUUUUCCUUCUAAAUGAACACCGACUGAAUCCUCAUCCGACUCGCCUAGUUUUAUGAACAACUCGUCGAGUCCAUCAUCAACUGAUACUCAUGUCCUUCCCUUAACUCGCCGAGUUAUAUGAAAAACUUGUCGAGUUACUCUACAUCCGAUGAACAUGUUCUGUCCUCGACUCGCCGAGUUGAUGAACAACUUGUCGAGUUCUAUGAAGAUUGCCUUCGACUCGCCGAGUCUGUUCAUGCACUAGCUGAGUACCAUGAAUUUCUAGAACAAUUUGCUUAGUUCAGAACGUUGGGUCACUCCCCGGGACUCUCUAAAACCUCUCCACACUCAUCUGGUCUUUUUGACCCUCACUGAUAUGGGACAGAACCCUUGGACUCGCCGAGUCCAGGAAUGGACUCGCUGAGUCGGUCACAUCCCCUCCUUCAAACUUUGAUUUCUGAUGUACAACACUUGACCAAGAGAUAGAUCCAGGCCCCUAGACUCGUUCUAGCAUGUAAAGUUACAAACUUUACGUGCAUGCAUGGGAAUUUUGAGCUUAAAAGGCUCUAAAAUGGUUCUUUUGUUGCAUGGGGCCUUCCUGGAGUGCAAAAGCAACCCAAAUCUGCCUUGUGACUCCAAUAAUGACAUGAUCCAGAAGCUCAAACCCCCAACCAUGUUUGCAAACAUGGUUGGCCACCAAAAAUAGCUUAUAAAAGCCCUUAAUCACCCCAAAGAGGGAUCUAACAAAUGAAUGAGCAAGGUUCAGACUUUAUAUCUUCUGUAGACUGCAAAUGGAGAACCAAACUCGAAUCCUUCAGUCUCCUCUUGAUACUUCUAUGCUCUUCCUUCUUCCUUGAGGUCAAAACUCACAAGAAUCACUCAAAAGACUUGGAUUUUCUCAAAACGGCUAAGGUUUGCUAUGAGAAGUGUUUGGGAGCAUAAAGGGGGAGUGGAGGCUACAUAAGGUCGUUUAAAUAAGGUGCAAACCCUUGGAUUAGGGUUUUUGUCCAGACGGCGACGACUCGCUAAGUUCGGGACCCGACUCGCCGAGUCCGCAACUUAAGCUUCGUGCCUCAUCGCGCUUCUACUCGGCGAGUCAGUCCUUCGACUCACCGAGUCCAAGGAUAAAAAUGAAAAAAUAAAAGAAGAUUUAAUAACAGAAUACGUACCAAGAACCAGGUGCUACAAAUCUCCCCCACUUAUUUUAGACUUCGUCCUCGAAGUCUGCUGCUUGAUCCGGAAACAGCUCGGGGUAGUGCUCCAUCAUCUCAUCCAUCGACUCCCAAGUCCACUCCGACCCUUUACGGUGCUGCCAUUGCACCUUCACGAGUUCUACUCUUUUGUUCCUCAGAACCUUCGACUUCCGGUCAAGGAUUGCUACAGGCCGCUCGAUGUAAUUCAGGCUGCCAUCAACCUGAAUGUCCUCCAAGGGUACUACCGCUGUGUCGUCCACCAAGCACUUCCGCAGCUGAGAGACGUGGAAAGUGUUGUGGAUCUGAUUGAGUUCGGCUGGCAGAUCCAGCCGGUACACCACCUUGCCCACCCGGGCUACAACCUUGAAGGGUCCAAUGUACCUGGGGCCCAACUUGCCCCNNNNNNNNNNNNNNNNNNGAAUGACGCCUUUCCAAGGCGACACCUUCAGGAGACCCAUAUCUCCGACUUGGAAUUCCAGGACUGGUCGGCGCUUGUCGGGAUAUCUUUUCUGCCGACUCUGAGCAGUCUAAAUCCUGCUCCGGACCUGCUGAAUCUUUUCUGUCGUCUUGAGCACUACUUCGGUGCUCCCCAUGACUCUCUGGCCAACCUCGCCCCAGCAUAUCGGGGUCCUGCACCUCCUCCCAUACAACAUUUCGAAAGGAGGACGGUCGAUGCUCGCAUGAUAGCUAUUAUUAUACGAGAACUCCGCCAACGGAAGGUAGGUAUCCUAGCUACCUCCAAAGUCUAAAACACAAGCCCGCAGCAUGUCCUUCAGAGUCUGGAUGGUCCGCUCGCUCUGGCCAUCUGUUUGCGGGUGAAAGGCGGUGCUGAAAUGCAGACGAGUACCCAACUCGUCGUGGAAUUUCUUCCAAAACCUGGAUGUGAACCGUACAUCCCUAUCUGAAAUCACUGAAACUGGCACUCCAUGUCGGGCCACCACCUCUCUGAUAUAGAUAUCGGCCAAUUUCUCGGCCGAGAUGCUCUCCUGAAUAUGGAUAAAGUGGGUGCUCUUGGUCAGUCGAUCCACGAUGACCCAUAUCGAAACCAUUCCCCGUGCGGUCCUGGGAAGCUUCAUGAUAAAAUCCAUCGUAAUAUCCUCCCAUUUCCACAGCGGGAUAUCCAACGGAUGCAUCUUGCCGUGAGGUCUCUGAUGCUCGACCUUGACCUUCCUGCAGGUCAAGCACUGCUCCACGUACCAUGCCACAUCUCGCUUCAUGCAGCACCACCAAUAGUCCAGACGAAGAUCCCUAUACAUCUUUGUCGCCCCGGGAUGGAUGGAGAAUCGGGAUUUAUGCACCUCCUCCAUCAAGAUCUGGUGCACGCCUCCGAGGUAUGGCACCCACACCCUACGGUAUAAUGUCAAUAAUCCCCUGCUGUCAUAGUCAAAUGAGGAAACCUGACCCACUAUGCGCUCACUNGUUCCUCCUUCAUGACCUCCUGCUGGGCCUCCCGAAUCCGCUCCAAUAGCUGAGUCACCACUGUCAUCCGCAUGCAGAUACCCCUAAUCGGCGGCGCUUUGCGGCUAAGCGCAUCGACCACCACAUUGGCCUUACCCGGGUGAUAAAGGAUCUCACAAUCGUAAUCCUUUACCACAUCCAUCCACCGACACUGCCUCAUGUUUAGAUUCGGCUAAUCCAUGAGGUACCUCAAACUCUUAUGGUCCGUGUAAAUGGUACAGCGAACCCCAUAGAAGUAAUGAUGCUAAAUCUUGAGGGCGAACACAACAGCCCCAGCUCCAAGUCAUGCGUCGGGUAAUUCACCUCGUGAGGCUUCAGCUGCCUCGACGCAUAGGCGAUGACAUGCCCUCUCUGCAUCAACACCACGCCCAAACCUGAGAUGGAUACAUCGCAGUACACAACAAAAUCCUCCAUGCCCUAUGGCAGGGCUAAGAUUGGCGUUUCGCACAAUCUCUGUCUCAGUGUCUCGAACGCUGCCUGCUGCUCAGGCCCCCAACGAAAGACCACGACCUUCCUUGUUAGCCUGGUCAACGGUACGACUAUCUUGGAGAAUUCCUGGAUGAAUCUCCGAUAAUAGCCUGCUAAUCCCAGGAAACUCCGAAUCUCAGAUGGAGACUUCGGAACCUCCCAUCUCAUCACGGCCUCCACCUUGGCCAGGUCUACCGAAAUCCUGUUUUGGUUGACAAGGUGCCCAAGAAACUGCACCUCACGCAACCAAAACUCACAUUUGGAGAACUUGGCAUACAAGCUCUCCCUCCUCAAAGUCUCCAGCACCUCUCGCAGGUGAUCCUCGUGCUCCUCCUACGUCUUGGAAUAAGCCAAGAUAUCAUCGAUAAAAACUAUCACUGACCGGUCUAACAUCGGUCUACACACGCGAUUCAUGAGGUCCAUGAAUGCGGCAUGAACAAUGGUUAGCCCGAAGGGCAUCACCACAAACUCGUAGUGGCCAUAGCGCGUCCGAAACACAGUCUUCUGCACAUCCUCCUCCCUGACCCUCAUCUGAUGAUAUCCUGAACGCAGAUCAAUCUAGGAGAGAUGCUCCUUGUAGCAGGUCAAAGAGGUCAUCAAUCCUUGGGAGUGGGUAACGGUUCUUCACCGUUAGCUUAAUCAGCUCCCUAUAGUCUAUACAAAUACGAUGCGAUCCGUCCUUCUUCAUCACAAACAGAAUCGGGGCUCCCCAAGGCGAACUACUUGGCCUGAUAAAUCCCUUGUCUAGCAGCUCCUGCAGCUGCGUAGACAACUCUUGCAUUUCGAGAGGAGCCAACCGAUAGGGUGCCUUGGCUAUCGGAGCCGCACCAGGGACUAGGUCGAUCUUGAACUCCACCUGGCGCUCCAGAGGUAUCCCGGGCAGCUCCUCGGGGAAUACGUCCGCGAACUCUCAUACUACGGGCAUCUCGACCACCGUCGCUCUACCCGCAUCCCGGUUAUCCAUAACAUACGUGACAUAACCUACGCAAACCUGCUGGAGGUAACGCCUAGCUCUCGCCGCUGAACAUAGGGUUGGUCCUCGCUGUGGCUUCUCGCCCUGAACCACCAGCUCUCCCCCACUUGGGGUCCUGAUCCGCACCAACUGUUGCGUGCAGUCGAUCGCUGCCCUAUUGGGGCUUAACUAAUCCAUACCGAUAAUAACCUUGUUCCCCCGUUAAGGUAUGGGAACCGGAUCCGCUAGAUAACGCUCCUCAAAUAACCUCAGCACACAACCUCGGAACACCGUCGAUGCUCGCACCGAAUGGUCAUCCGCAAUCUCUACGUCUAGAGGGAAUCCAACAUGCCUGAAGACUCGGAAAAUCUCUUGCUGAGCGCAAGAGUAACAAACGAUCGGAUAGCACCCGAAUCAAAACAUACCUGAACUAGGAUACCGUUCACAUGGAACGAUCCUAAACAAAGCACAUACAUAACAUAUCAAAAUCACAGAACUAUAUCAUAAUAGCAUAAAUAGGAAGUCAUACCCGUCACUACAUCGGGUGCAGCGCGUGCCUCCUCGGUAGUCAACUGGAAUGCUUGACUCCUCACCACUGGAGCCUCUACCUUGCCUUGCCGGCCAUCAGUGAUCCGCAGGGUUGCUGUAGCUGGCGCCUUCAUCAGCGCUGAUGCUGCUGUCAACUGGGGGCAAUUGGCCUUCUUGUGGCCCCUCUGGUUGCAGUGGAAACACAGCAACUCAAAAGUCUGAAUAACCGAUGCAGGGGUAGUACAAUCCCUGCUGAAAUUCCCCGUCUUGCCGCACUUGUAGCAGCCCGACGAUCCCAGUCUACACGCCCCCUCAUGUGGCCCGCCGCAUUUCCUGUAGCGGCUCGGUUCUGACUGGCCUUUCGGCCUACCAUUCGAUCCCUUGGGCUUCUUCCCCGAAGCCCCAGUUGACUGCCCCUCCUCUACUUUCCUCUUCCGGAGAUGCUCCAGAUUAAUCUCCCUCUCCCUCCCCCUGGCAAUCAUAGACUCUAGGGUAGGGCAAGCUGAAAAACUAACAUGCUCCCGAAUGUCGGCUCGCAGCAUGUCAUGAUAGUGGGUCCUCCUCAUAUCCUCGUCUCCUGCAUACUGGGGCACCAGCAAUGCCCUCUCCCGAAACUUGGCGGUGAUCUCUGCCACCGUCUCCAUAGUCUGUCUCAUAUCCAAAAACUCUGUAGCCAGCUGCUGAAGCUCUACCGCUGGCGCAAACUCUGCUCUGAACCGGGUCACAAAAUCCGACCAGGUCAUAGCCUCAACAGCCGAGGCUCCCGAUGAGUCGCCAACAGACUCCCACCAGUCUCUAGCUCUAUCUCUCAAACACCCUGUUGCAUAUCUCACCUUCGACCCCUCGGGGCAGAAACUGGUCAGCUGUGUGGACUCAAUGUCCACAGUCCAUCGUCUGGCAGCAAUGGGGUCCUUCGCCCCAUGGAAAUCCGACGCACCACUGCCCCUGAAGUCUUUAAAGGACAGUGUGCGAGAUCCUAACUGGCCAGAUGGCAUGUCACUCCUGAACGCCCUGAGGCGGUCCUCCAUCAGCUCAACUAUCCCUUCCUUGAUCAACUCGAAAAUGAUGGGGGUCGACUCAAGGAUGUCUCUGGUGAUCACUGACGCGAUGAACUCACGUAGCCUCUCAUCUACUGGCUCGGAACCUGAUCCCGAACCCGAUCCCUCUCCAAAACUGCCAACUGCUGACGUAGUACCACCAUUCUGCAAUACAUAUAGGCAACCAUUAGUGAUACAGAUAGCUCUAAAGGGAUCACAUCUAUUACAAGUUCCCCGGUCUUGUCUUAGCCUUCCUCAAUUUGGGUACGGAUCCUCUUCUUUCAGUAGUACGGGCCCAUACUACCUUCCACAUCUAUCCAUACCUUCCUCAAGGACUGCCUGGACUCCACCAGAUCCCUUUUACCACUGCUGAUCUCUGCUACUCUUAUCCUAGGCUUACCCUAGGAAACCCUUGACUAUACCCAACCCAGUCCUCAGCUGCUGAAGGUCUCUUUGUAGUGCCAAUUAGCCAUUACCUGAAUACAAUCACAUGCAACGAGGCUCAUAUAAUCCUUCGAGUAAGGGACUCAUCCCUACAAUAGUUAGAAUUCAAACAAGAGCUACGCAAUAAGGUCAAAUCCAACACUCUGAGAUUAUUCAACCCUGAUCGCAUGUGACUUUAACGUAUUCACCUAACAGCUAACUCCCAUCACUCAAAUCCCACAUAGCACAAAGCAAGCAACAUUCGGACAAAAGGGAACCAUCUCAAGAAACUAUAUCCUCAUAACAGGAACUACACUAGCAUACAAUGCUAAGCUCAUACUAUCAGACAUAACCUAGACAGGCUAUCCUACUAUUGUCUACUCAAUUCUAGCGUGCAACUCUGAUAAACUGAAGCACAUAAAGCAGGCACAUAAGACAUCACUCCUAAAUCCUUAGUCCUAUUCUAACAUGUUGUUCUACUGAAACUAAUAAACGUAACAUAAACUCGUAUGGGUACUUUGGGGAAUAUUUACUUGAGCUCGGCCGGUCGCGCACAUCACACACUUCGUUCUUUCUCAAAAACUGUUUACUUAACUUUUAGAAAACAUUUCUUUUUUUUUUUUCAAAAUCUUUUAAUCCCUUGAUUUGAGUUCAGACACCCCCGAGGGUAGUAAAACGUCAUCUGAUCAUAUCAUUUCAAUAAACAUAUCUUGUAUCCAAAUACCCAAAACAUGAAAAUAGUAAUAAUGUCAAGGUACAAUCCCAGAAUAUCUCACAAUACGGAAAACCAAAGUGUGUCGGUAUGAUGUGCUGCUACCACGCUAGCUCCUUCCCCUUCGCUAAAGAGGUACCUGAAACCAACACUGAAAACUGUAAGCACGAAGCUUAGUGAGUUCCCCCAUCGUACCACAUACCAUACAAUCAUAUCACAUACAUACUUCCAGACAUUUAUGGGGUGCCGACCUACCCGUACCGCCAUUCUGGGGUGCCGACCUACCCAUGCAGCCAUUUUGGGGUGCCGUCCUACUCGUGUCUAGCCAUUCUGGGGCGCUGACCUACCCAUGUCGAGCCAUUCUGGGGUGCUGACUACCUUUUGGUCCUAACAACCGAACCUCAGGGACUAUUUCACCCCCUACUUCUAAUAUCACAUAUAACAUAACAUAAACAUAUUAUCAAACAUAUCUGGGGUGCCUGAACUACCCUUCUAUCCUAACAACCGAACUCAGGGACUGGUCCCCUCCUACUACCUCUAUCGCAUAUAACAUAACAAGCCAGCAUGCAAACAUAUCAUCACAUACUGUCAGACGCAUCUGGGGUGUCUGACUACCCUUCGGUCCUAACAACCGAACUCUACUACUAUCACAUACACAUAUCAUGUUAGCAUAUAACAUAUCAGGUAGUAGCUAUCCUAGAUGAUAUCACAAAGACCAUCAUCUAUCAUACGUGCCCUACUGGUGGGUCGGCAUUGUGCCCGUAGACCCACCGCUACUGGAAGGUAACUCACCUCAUAGUAGCUGCUGAACUGUGCGGGAAUCCUCUGACUGCUACCGCUGCUACUCCAGAAAUCCUCCGGUUAUAAUUCCCACAAAACACUUAGUCAGAAACUGACAUCUACUCUUAGGGUAAAAUGAUAAUUUUACCCCUGACCAAGUCAAAUUCAAUGUCAACUUCCAGUUGACCUGACUCGCUUAGUUGGACCGCCAACUCGCCGAGUCCCUAUCCUUCCGUUAGACCUCAUACCCAACUCUACUCGUCGAGUUAGGCGAUGACUCGGUGAGUUUUCCUUCUAAAUGAACACCGAAUGAAUCCUCAUCCGACUCGCCGAGUUGUAUAAACAACUCGUCGAGUCCAUUAUCAACUGAUACUCAUGUCUUGCCCUUAACUCGCCGAGUUAUAUGAACAACUCGUCGAUUUACUCUACAUCCGAUGAACACGUUUUGUCCUCGACUCGUCGAGUUGAUGAACAACUCGUCGAGCUCUAUGAAGAUUGCCUUGGACUCGCCGAGUCUGUUCAUGCACUCGCCGAGUACCAUGAAUUUCAAGAACAAUUUGCUUAUUUCAGAACAUUGGGUCACUCCCCAGGACUCUCUAAAACCUCUCCACACUCAUCUGGUCCUUUUGACCCUCACUGAUAUAUGGGACAGAACCCUUGGACUCGCCGAGUCGGUUACGUCCCCUCCUUCAAACUUCGAUUUCCGAUGUACAACACUUGACUAAAAGAUAGAUCUAGGCCCCUAGACUCGUUCUAGCACGUAAAGUUACAAACUUUACGUGCAUGCAUGGGACUUUUGAGCUUAAAAGGCUCUAAAAUGGUUCUUUUGUUGCAUGGGGCCUUCCUUGAGUGCAAAAGCAACCCAAAUCUGCCUUGUGAAUCCAAUGAUGACAUGAUCCAGAAGCUCAAACCCCCAACCAUGUUUGCAAACAUGGUUGGCCACCAAAAAUGUCUUAUAAAAGCCCUAAAUCACCCCAAAGAGGGAUCUAACAAAUGAAUGAGCAAGGUUCAGACUUUAUACCUUCUAUAGACUGUAAAUGGUGAACCAAACUCGAAUCCUUCAGUCUCCUCUUGAUCCUUCUAUGCUCUUCCUUCUUCCUUGAGGUCAAAACUCACAAGAAUCACUCAAAAGCCUUGGAUUUUCUCAAAUCGGCUAGGGUUUGCUAUGAGAAGUGCUUGGGAGCAUAAAGGGGGAGUGGAGGCUACAUAAGGUCGUUUAAAUAGGGUGCAAACCCCUGGAUUAGGGUUUUAGUCCAGACAACGACUACUCGCCGAGUCCGGGACCCAACUCGCCGAGUCCGCAACUUAAACUCUGCGCCUUAUCCCGCUUCUACUCGGCGAGUCAGUCCUUCGACUCGCCGAUUCCAAGGCUAAAAAUGCAAAAAUAAAAGAAGAUUUAAUAACAGAAUACAUACCAAGAACCAGGUGCUACAUUGUGAUUGUUUCCUCUUAACUCGAAUUUACACUUCUAAGACAAAACAACACAAUGGAAAAAAGUUUUAUCUAUCUCCACAGUAGGUAAUGAGAUUCUUUAUGAUUGCUUCCUCCUAACUCGAAUUUGCACUUCCAAGACAAAGAAUCUCAUUGUUUGUUAUAAAGAUAGAUGAAACCGAAGAUACUACUUGGAGAAAACUAGGACACCAAUAUUAUUUGAUCGAUUUGUAAAUCAGGUUACUAAUAUAAAUGAAGGAAGAGUCAUGUAUGAAAACACCUAAUUAAUGAUUGUCUUAUGUAGGAUGUCGUGAGGAAAAUCUAAAGAAAUCGACUAUAAGGACUAAAUGUAUAGAAAAACAUUAAGGAUUAAAUGUUUACAAACUAAAAAAUAUAUUAACUAUUAGGUUAUUUUUCCGGCUUUAACCCGGUUAUAAUGACUAAAUGUGAAAAAAAAAAAACAAAUUAAAUGGUAAAAUAUGGACAAAAAGAACAUUCAGUGACCAAAUAUAUACAAAUAAAAAAUAUAUUAUUCUUUUAAAUCAUUUUCUUUAAAAAUUAUCCUCUUCUUUAAUUUCAAAUAUCACUAUUUUUCAUUUUUUUUUAUUUAGUUUGUUUAUCUAUUGUUUUUAUAGUAUAAUAUAAUUUUUAGAAAUAAAUAUACAUGUAUCUAUAUAUAGAUAGAACAUGACAAAUGACCCUAAGCUAUGCGAUGUUGAUAUGAUCCCAAGAAAUUGUCCGUCCGGUCUAAUUGUAGUUGAAGUGUAUCCGAAGCAAAGCUCAUCCAAGAAAGUGAUUAUUUUUGUCUUAUGUUUUUUUUAUAGAUCAAUGAACAAAAUCAACAUGAUCAUUUUACAUACAUAUUGUACUAUACGUUCCCUUGUAUUUUUACAUGUUUACUUUUAGUUUAUGAAUAGACAAGUCAAACUAAUGUAUCGACCAACAUUUCUUGUAUCACUUCAAAAGUUAAUACAAUCAGUCAUUUUUCUUAAAUACUUUUUAUGUUCGUCAUUUAUUAUCCAAGCAAUUUACUCUUUCUUAUUUAUUAUUGCAUUUAAUACAUCUUGGUUAAUGGUUAAUCAUUCAUAAAUCUAACUUGACUCAUUCCAAAAUUUGAGGUAACUCAUAUUAUAAUUCAAACUAGAGAAAUUAAAUAUUCUCCUAGCUUUUGAUCCUACUAAUCCUUCUAUUUAUUUAAAUGAUGACAUGUGUCAUAUUAAUAUCAUAAAAUAUCAUUAAAUCUCAUUAAAUAAGCAUUAAAUGUUACACAUGUCACCAUUUCAUUAUGUAGGAGGAUAUAUAAGAACAAAAAGUAAAAAGAUAUUUAAUUUUCUUCAAACUAUUCAAACAUUACUAUAACUAUCAAAUAAAUACUGAUUAUAAUUGUUUAUUUGAUACUUACACGUAAGCCAUCAAACGAUAAGUCAUCAAACCAUAAUGUUUGGAACAUGCUUUCAUGAAAGUCAAUGUUCAUGAAUACUUUACAUAAUUUCGUUGUUACAUAAUAAAAGGUGUAAAGUAUCUUUUACCAAUAACAUUAUGACAUACUGAUUGUAAUUAUCCUAUGUAUUAGCUACAGUUGAAACCACAAUAAUAGAGUUAGGGCCAGUCCAAACAUAUAGGGCACGGGGCGAAAAGAAAAAAUGACUCCUUUAAAACAAAUAUAAUAAUGAUUUAAAAAAAUAUAAUUUAUUCUUCACUAUAAACGCCUUCAAAUAGCAAUAACAAACAAGUCAAAUUGUUUAUCUUUUGAGCUAGUUUGAGUUUAAAUCAACUUUAGGUCUUAAAAAAUUAUUAAGGUAAUAUAUAUAUAUAUAUAUAUAUAUAUAUAUAUAUAUAAGNGUUGCUGAUCAUUUGAACCGCCCUGAGUAGAUUAAUAUACCAAAGAUGCAAAUAUGUUAAGUUGUGUGUAAUCGUUGGAGCAUGCUUUCAUAAAAUUUUUUAUUACAAAAAUAACAUCCUUUUUUACAAUUAAUUGUAUAACCUUUUUUACAAAAAUUUACAAAUUAUUACAACCUGUUGACUUCUUUUAUAUAAUUUUCGUAAAACUUUUUAUAGAAAAAAAAUCACUAUAUUAGUAAAUUACAACAUUUUAUAGAAUUUUUUACAAUGUUCUUAAACUUAAUUUACAACCAACACAAAAUAUAAAUCAAAUAAGAAAAUAGAUCAAAACUCUCAGAAUCAUCAACAUAAAAAAUUAAUCGAAUCAAUUCAUUCAGGCUUCUCCAAGAUUACAGUACCCCUCACUCGUCUGAUGAGGAAGGGGGUGAAUUUCCAAUGGGGCCCUGAGCAGCAAACAACAUUUGAGACCCUUCGGAAGAGAUUAUGUCAGGCCAUGGUUUUGACCCUCCUAGAGGGAAUUGAGGAUUUCGUGGUAUUUUGUGAUGCUUCCAUCACUAGUUUGGGGGUGGUCCUCAUGCAGAGAGACGAGUGAUAGCAUAUGCUUCGUGGCAGCUAAAGCCGCACGAGAUGAGGUAUCCCACGCACGAUCUGGAGUUGGAGGCAGUGGUUUUUGCCCUUAAGAUUUGGAGGCAUUAUCUUUAUGGAAUCUGUUGUACUAUCUACACGAACUAUAAGAGUUUGAGACAUAUUAUGGAUUAACCGAACCUGAACAUGAGGCAGCGCGGGUAGCUGGACGUAGUCAAGGAUAAUGACUGCGAGAUCCAUUACCAUCCGAGUAAAGUGAACGUGAUGGUGGAUGCUAUGAGUUGCAAGUCAGCUGGGUCUUCAAUUAGGGUAUCGUGUAUGAGGAUAUUAGUGGAUUCUCCGCUUUUGCGAUUAAUUAGGGAGGCUCAAGUUGAGGGUGUUCAGGAAGAGAACUGGAAGAUAAAGAAAAUCAAGGGUGAGAUCGCCAGAUUUGUUCCGGAUAGUCGUGGAUUGUUGAACCGUUGUGGUCGGGUAUGGGUUCAUAUGGCUGGUCUGUAACGACCCGAAAACCAAGGGUAAAAAAUUCAUUUUUAAUUUAGCUAAAGCGUAGAUACCAUUUAUUACAAACAUUUCAAAUCAUCGUUAAGUAAAUCAUUUAUCAGAGUUCAUCCCAAAAUCAUUCAUUGCGGAAAUCAUAGGUGUGUGCACUGCGAUCAAUCUGAGCCCUUCAUUUCCAAAUCGAUGAAACCUAUAACCAAAACUGUAAACCAUAAGCACAAACCUUAGUGAGUCCCCAAAACAUACCCCACACACAAUCCACAUAACACAUAACAUAUUAGCUUUAAAAGCUAUCUUUACCGCAUACCACAUAUCAUAAUAGCUAUAAAAGCUAUCUCUACCACAAAACACAUUAGCUAUAAAAGCUAACUUUACCACAUAUCAUGUUAGCCACAAAAGCUAUCUCUACCGCAUAACAUAUUAGCUACAAAAGUGAUCUCUACCACGUAUCCCUGCAUAAGGAUGCCAUGGGCUCCCUUACAUGGUCUUACACCUAAGUGCCAUGGGCUCCCCCCAUGGUUUUUCCCUGUCGGACAAUCAUGGGCUCCCCCACAUGGUCUUACAUCCAAGUGUCAUGAGCUCCCCCGAUGGUCUUUCAUGCAAAUAUCACAAAAAAAGCAUAGCAUAGCAUAGUAUGAAGCAUAUAAUGGACUGGCAUACCACAUAUCACUACAUCAACUAGUGUACCACAUAAGUCUACAUAAUAAAUAUACCACACAUCUUUACAAAAUGGGUCGGCCUUGGUGCCUUAGACCCAUUGGUAUGGUGAGAAGACUCACUUGGCAUUGCUGAAGUCCCACAGAUAAAACUUCAGUGCUGGUUGACAGGUUCCCGAACUGUCAACAUCAAAGAAUACCCAAUUAAUAAUUGGGUUCCAACUCAUAAUCAUAAGUCCAUGCUUGGGGUAACAUACGAAUCUACUCCUAACUUGGCUUGAUUCAAGCCCAAGGCCCAAUCCAAAGGCCUAAAAGUCCAACUAUGGCUCAAAGCCCAACUGAUGGCCCAAUUUUCAAAUUGGGCCCAAACCUUUACAUGUCUUAUUCAAAGGCCCAACCAAAAAGUCCAGUCCAACAUUUGGUAUUUCUAAUGGCCCAAUAUCUCGAAAUCAUGAAGGCCCAAACUAUGGCCCAUCUAUGGCCUAAUUUUCCAAAUUAGGCCCACACCCUCAUAUGGGCCUUACCCUAAUCCCAUCAACAUAUUCUAAUCCAUAUGAUUAAUCCUGGAUGGCCCAUUAAUAAUCUAAUUACCAAAGCCCAAUGGAAAGGCCCAACUCAAGGCCCAAGUGAAAUUAGGGUUUCACAUAAUAUGAUGAUUAGGGUUAAGUGUCCUUACUCAACCCAUUAAGGACUUAAUCCAUUAAGUCCAACAUGGCCUUAGGUUAAUUUGCAAUGAUUAUUAAUUAAUAUUUUAAGUUCAUUAAAUAAUUCCGAUGCGGUCCCGAUAAAUCUAAAAUUAGGGUUUCAUGGUAUUAGGGUUUUCUAAACCCUAAUUAGGGUUUCCAACCCAUCUUAGCCCAAUAUGCCCAAUAGCUAGGUCCUUUGAUCAAUUAGGGUCCAUUAGGCCCAUUAGAGUUUCAAGCAUCCCAACCGAAUUAAACACGACAAGUCAAAGCACACCGCCACCCGACACGGCGGCCGGUGGCGGCAGCCACCACCUCACGGUGGUGGUUAUGGGUUUCUUUCAUUAAUCGUUUUCUAAAUAUACUUACAAUGCUUGAAUCCAAAAAUAUACACACUAACGAACAUGGACAUACACAUACAGCCACCCUUGUGGUGGCAGAACCAAAGUAGAGGCGGNGCAGCCACCAUGGUUAGCAGCCAUGGUGGUCAUUUCGGGGUUUUCCAGCCAACCGAAUACUCACACACGCACCCCAACUAGCAACAACAACAACACACACACAAAAUAAGCCUCCUCGGGGGUGGCGGAUGAUGACCAGAGCAGUGGGAGAAGAACUAAACGACGGUUUGUGACAGUCGUGACCGCAAACGGAGGUAGAGAGGUGUUUACGGCCGGGAAACGGUGGCAAUCCAUCACCGAGGCAACGACCACAGUAGCACAAUAACCUCCGACAGCAGCAAUGACGUUUGCGACGUCCAAUACUGAGAGAAACGACUGGGAAGAGAGAAAGAGAGAGAGAGNCUGUAAUAUAUAUAUAUAUAUAUAUAUAUGUAUAUAUAUAUACACACAGAGAGAGAGAGAGAAAGAGAGAGAGAGGUGGCGGUUAGGCCCACCAGAAACUCCUUGGCUGCUCACGGCUAACAACUCGUCGUUCAUAGCCCCACUGUGUGAUGUCCGACAACGGAGUUAUGGAUAGCGGCGCUUGGCGACAGGCAGCAGAGAAAUGGGGCGAUGGCGUUGCUGGUGGUUCUUCGACUUCGACAGCAAACGAACGGCGGUGGGGAGGGUCACGAGGUUUGUGACCGCAAACAAGAGGAAUAAGGGUGGCGCCCGAUGACUUCACUUUAGGGUUAGGGUUUGGCAACCUUUAAAUACCCGCUCCAUAUUAAAAGUUUUCCAUAAUGGCAGAACUGGUUCCUCCCCAUAAACAUUUUUGCAACAAAGGCUUAAAAUUUACUCUUUAUACCCCUGCUCCCUCAAUUCUUUUCAUUUUAAGACCGAAAUUUACCUUUUUAACCCAGUCUUCCGAAAUGCUUUACAAAUUAAGUCUAAUAUUUACCAAACAACCCCUAAGCUUCCGAAAUCUCUUCAAUUUGAGUCCCAAUAAUUCGCCAAUUAUACCUUGCCUUUAUAAAUAUUUACGACACUAACCCAAGACUUACGUUUAAACCCCGACUUCUAAAAAUAUUUACAACAUAAAUCCCAGAUACUCCAAUAUAUAACAUUUGACUCCCCAAAACCAAUAAUAUCCUAAAUAAUAUGAAUUUAUUGCGACUAUUCGUUCAUCAAAUUUUAUCUAUUUAUUUAUUAAUUAAACAAGAUGUUAGAUGGUCGGGUCAGACAUAUUGUGUUGGAGGAGGCUCAUAAGUCUCGUUUUUUAAUCCAUCUGGGGGCCACAAAGAUGUAUCUAGAUCUGAGAUUAAGUUUUUGGUGGUCGUGUAUGAAAAGGGAGAUCGCCUAGGACGUGGAGAGGUGCAUGACCUGCAGGAUGGUCAAGGCUGAGCACCAGAGGCCGCAUGCCAAGCUAUAGCCUCUAGAGGUUCCCAUGUGGAAAUGGGAGCAGAUUUCGAUGGAUUUCAUCACCAAGUUGCCGAAGACAACAAAGGGGUUCGAUGUUAUUUGGGUCAUCGUGAAUCAAUUGACCAAGAGUACCCACUUCCUGGCAAUUCGGGAGAGUUCUUCGGCCGAGAAUUUGAUUGAAGUGUAUACUCGUGAGAUCGUUGCUCUCCAUGGGGUUCUGGUCUCCAUUGUUUCAGACAGUGAUGUUCGGUUCACCUUGUUGGGUUUUAGUUCAAAAAUAGCUUCACAUACUAGAAAAAUAUGACAAUGGAAGACUUAAAUUUUUGAAAUAACAUAAAUAUUGUAUACCCACCAAGGAUAUUCUUUCAAGUUAUAAGAAGAUUUAAACACCAACCAAAGAAAGGAUGAAGAAAUAACAACCUUUGUUGUUCUUUGGGUCCUCUAGGGGAGCUGCGAAGUUGAUGAAGAAUGUGGAACCUUUGAGACACCAACAAUGACAUCAACUUGAUGUAGAUGCUAUUCCAUAAGCUCUUAAACCCUUAAGCUUUAAGUUCAUAACCAAUAUGAACUUAAAGAGGGCGUGAAAAAUGCAAGUAUUCUCUUCAUGCGAAAGCAAGACUAGAGAGAGUGAGAUAGAGGGUUAUGGUUUCAGCCAUUCUUCAAAAGAAUGACUAGCCAAAAAUGCAAGCCCCAAACCUUGUAUUUAUAAUAGUAACAAUACCCUACCUUUUGAAUAAACUAUUCAAUAGACCAUACUCUUAUUUAAAUAAUCAAAGAGCCGCUCUCAUUUAAGUAAUCAAAAAGCCAUACCCUUAUUUAAAUAUUUAAAGAGCCAUUAUCUUAUAUAAAUAAUCAAAAAUUCAUACUCUUCCUUUUUUAACCUUAUUUUUAUAAAUAAUAAAAAGAAAAAGGAAAAAAACUUUAUAUUUUAUAAAACAAGUUUAUACAAUACAAACUUGAACUUUUUGGUAAAAGAAAAAAGAAUUUGUCUAGUCCAAAAUGGUGUGCAUGACUUAUUAAUUCAUACCAUAUGAACUAUAUAUAAUGUUACUUGCUAAUGAAAAUUAUUAUUUCAUAGAAAUAAAUAAUUUCCAAAUUAAUUAUAAGAGUUUAUUAAAUAUUUAUUAAAACCAAUUCUAAUAAAUAAUCGAUUGUAUCAAGUUGUUAGUGUAACCCAUUAGUAUCAUAUGUUAAUUAGCAAUAUCACUAUAAUAUGACUCUUGAACAUACUAGACCUUUCAAUCUCCCACUUACGCAAGAUCCAUAUUAGACUGAUAUAGAAAGUGGUGAACGUCUAGUAACAUUUCACUACCCCUAACAACAUACGACUUUGUGCCAUUCUAUCAACGCCCAAUUCCCAAAAAUUUCAAAGCUACAAUUGGUGUAUAAGGUAAGUUUAUCAGUUAUCCCUUUGCUACAAACAUCAUGUUAAACAUUAGAUACGGAUCGCGAUCAAUCUCAUUAGUUGUUCAACUUUUGGUAAGGCAUCUUAGAUGUCUAACUCUCAACAUAUAAGAGGAACAAAUCUCAUCCUGACUACGUAAGCCUCUUGCAUAGUUCACACCAUACCUGAAAAUGGCUUUUGUAACUACCCAGUUAAGGAAUAACAUUUGACCAUAUCAAAUCAUAGUACUCUCCCACUAUGCAUCUCAGGUGUUAAGGAUACAAAGAUAGUACCUUUUAAUCAAGUAUCACUCAUGAUAUCGAUCAAUGGGAUGAUCUUGAUGCGGGUUAAUUUAAUACUAGUUAUUUGACAAGUACCUAUGAAACUUGGCUACAACCACUUGCCUACUUUCAUCUAGUGAGAUUCAACCAAUCCAAUUCAUAUUAGUCUUACUUCAUAACUGCUCCCACAAUUAUAACCGACUAUGAACUUUUAGAAUAAUAACAUUAUUCAUGGAUUAAACAUGUUAAUAAAGAACACAACAAGUAUUAAUGUGAUGACUAUAUCCCAAUAUAUCAUAACAUUAUUUAAUAGUUGUUAUAAUGUUCCAAUAUCCAAAUACCAAAUCCAAAUCAAAAACCCAUUUCUAGAAUAAUAAAGUCUUAUAGCUGAAUUGUGACCACUCAUACAUAGCUCAAAAGAAUGACUUUGUCAAUGGAUCUGACAAAAUUUAAUUUGUGUGAAUUCUGUGAAUACUAUCAUCUCCAUACUUAACUUUACUCUAAGUAUAGUUAAAUAUCUUGGAGAAUAUGAUUUGUGUUCUUUCGUGACAUUGAGUUUCAUAGCUUGAUUAAGUAUAUUCUCGAUAUCAUAAAGAUUUCUAUGUGAUCCUAGAAUGGCAGAAAUCAACAUAAUUUUUCAAUGAUCUCAUUCAUCCCAUCAUAUUUGAAUUCAACUUCUCAAGUAGUGUAUUCUAAUUUUGUAGUAGAUUGUUUCAUUAUGUUUUUCUUGGACCUCAUUCCAACAAGACAUACCCUUUAUUACAUAAUGAAGUCAAAAUCCAAUUAUAAAUCAUAGUUAUUUAUAUUUGUUUAGAAAUUAACAUCUUGUGUAGCUCUUUCCAUAAAGAUCCUUUCUAAAGUAAUUGUCUCAUAUAUAUUCUCUUAAUUCUUUUAAAGUACUCUUAGAAUGCUCUCUUAGUCAUCAAGUGACUUAACCAUGUAUUAAGUUAGUAUCCUAUGACAUGCUUACAACAUGAUCAAAUACCAUGUCCUAUGCAUAAUAUGGCGUAAAUGAUGAAUACAUUUGCCAAGCAAAUAGAUUAUAAAUCAUUUCAUCUAGUCGAAGCCUAUGAGCUAUGUACUUUUGAGGCUAGCUCAAAAUGGUGCCAUAUGACAAUGCCAAGAAUUCUCCAAAAGAAUCUUGUGUUUUGAUCCCUUUCAAGAUAUUGCCAAUAUAUUUAUAAGGACAUGAAACUUUUAACAUUCAUUUUAUUUAUCUCUUAUAGAUUUUACAUUCCAAGAAUAUAUCUUCUCCUUCCUAAGUCUUUCAUUUUUGAAAGACUUUCUGAGUCAAGGUGAAACGACCUUGCUUACUCAAAAUGUGAUUUCAAAUGAUUAAGUAUGUCUCAUUCAUACAAGAUUAGGAAUUUCAAUAUGCUCCCACUAGUUCUUAGUAAACACACAUGUUCUAUUCAUUUUGAUAUAAAAACAUACCUUGUGGUUUAAAUUAAAAGGAUGAUUGCAAUAUUGAGAUGUUUUCUUUAUAUGCACAAGUGGAUCAUAAGCUCUACACAUUUUUUUAGGAUAACGUGGAUUAAGAAAACCUCCACGCUAAUCUAUAUAGAUAUCUAUUAAGAAAAAGCGGUCUUUCUUGAAAUUUAUUUACUAUAUAUCAUAUUAAGAAUUUGAAUUUAUAGUAAAAAACAUCCUUAUUGAUCUAGUCAUAUCUACUUGUGAAAAAGGUUUGAUCACAGUCAAUGUCAUGAGUAUGAUGAGGACCAGAGUCAAUGACAUGAGUAUGAGAAAAUCCUUUUAUAACAAGUCUUGCUUUAAAUGUGCAUGGUUAUCCAUGUAAUUUAUUCUUUCUAGAAGAGGUAUUUCCUCCUUCUAUCCUUGCUAUAGGGAUAAAUUUUAAACAAGCAUGUACUUGAUUCUCAUACAUGGAUUAAAUCUCAUGUUCAUGACUCUAAGUUAUUUAUUAGAUUCAAUAUCUGACAUUACAUCUUGGUACUUGAUGGAUUUUACAGAAACCAUUAAUAGAAGCUCAUCAGUGAGAGAUUCCAUAUUUCUCAAGUCAUAGAUGAUUUCUACCAUUAAUGCUUUGUGUUUGUGAAUAGAUAUUAUUCAAGUUUAACAAUCCUUGUUAAAACUAGUGCCAACCAUUACUACAUAAGGUUAUGAUUCUUGAGUUGCUUCAAGUUCCAUGUAACUCCCACUUACUUUGUCAUUAGAAGCUUGCUUUCUACUAACUUAGCUUUCACAAGAAUAAGAGGACUUAUUCUUGGUGGUUUUAUAUAUAAUAAUCUAAGCCACAUUUAGAGUAUUAUACAGAUAUGUAUUUAGUAGAUUUUGGGUUUAGAAGCUUUAGUCCAACAUCGGCUUCAAAUCCAUAAAACAUUAAGUAAGAUGAGGAUGGAUCCUUUCCAUACUAAAUCUUAUAAAUUGUUUAAUCUACUUAUUAGUUGGUAUUUAUAUUCAAGAUACAAUUAAUAGUGAUUGAAGUAUUAUCCCAAAAAAGAUUAAAGGAUGAUAUUUCUACCGAUUAGAAAGUAAAUCAUACCAAGUAAGAUAUAAUUCAUCCUUUAUUAUCAUUAACCCCUUAGAUGGUUCUUUCUGGUUUGUAUCUCAACUUUUGAAAUCUUCAACAAAGAUUUCACAAUUACACUUUACCACAUAAAAUAUAAUUAAAACUACUAUAGUUGUUAAUAAAGUUGACUUGGUAUCUUGUGCUUAAUCUCAGACAUUCAUCAGAAAGGAAGUCAUACACCAAGGUGUAUAGUUCCUUAAUUAUUUUCUCUAGACCUUAGUGAAUAUAUCAUUAGGAAUCCUUUACAUAUAAAUAAGAUACCAUAUGUCAAAUAAACUACAUUAUUUGCCUUCAAAGAUCCCUUUCUUGAAGUUUGAAUAUCUGAAUGUCAUUUAUAUAAUAAAGAUAACAAUUUUAAAGAUAAGUUUGAUUUAAAACAAAUUUAAAUCAAAAGUGCUUGUAUAUAGAACUUGAUUUUAUUUAUAAAAUAGUUGAUAUUUACUUUACAAUUCUAUUAAGAGAUCUAGUCUUAUAAAUAGAAGUUAAUCAUUUCAGAAUAUGAAUAUUAUCGUUAUGGAAAACAAUUAAGUAAAUGAUCAAACAUUUGAAUAAAAUAACCGAGACAUAAAUUUAGACAUGCUAAAUUCAAACAUACAUUAUUCUAAAGCAAAUAUUGUUUUACAUUACAAGUAAUUUAUGUUCUAAGCAUAAAUAAUAAAUUAAACUCUAAGAGUGUAGUUCCUACUUGAUUGUGCUCAGCUGGUUACUCUUUAAUAAAUAUCAGCAAGCCAUUUACAAAUAUUAGAUUAACAUUUAAGUACCAAGUACCUAAGUGUUAUAUGAAAAGUAUGAGUUCUAUCUAGUAGAUACUAGAAGUACUAGUGUCUUUCAGACUUUCUUUCCAAAUAAGAGGAGUAAAUCCUCUUCGAGUGUCCAGAUUCUUAACAAAAGAAACAAGAUCCAUCUAUGUGGGCUUUAGUAGAUUUCUUAGGCUUAAAGGUGUUGAAUCCAUAAAACAGGGACCUUCUGGAUCACACAAGGUCAUUAUUUUAGCCUUGCAUUAUUCGAAUGUUUAAACUAGCUUUAACUAAAAUAUCAUUGUAUUUACUGGAAUUUUGCUUGACCUGUUAUAUCAUCAUAUAUAUGUUUAAAUUAUCCAAGACUUCCUAGAAGUCAUGAAUAACUAUUCCUAGCUUGAUGUUAGAAGCAUCUUUAGCAUCACAGUAAUGCCUUUAAUAGGUAUCAUUUUCAGGUUUAUUGCUCAAAGAAAGUAGUUUAGGACUAGGACCUUUAAGUGUAUAUAAUUUCAUAUCUUUCACGAGAUUGUCUCAUAAGACAUGAACCCAUUCAUUCAAGUUGUAUCUACUGAAUGUUGUUUCAUUAAGUCGUUAAAUAAAAUGAAAAUUCAUGAGAAAGAGAAUGGAUUAUUUAACUACAAAAUUUUAACAAAAUUCAUUUAGUAUUUUCAAUAUUUAAUCUUCAAUAAUUAACACCCUUUUAGUGUAACAUCUUGUUCCAGAUUGUUUUGUGAUUUAAGGCCCAUGGGCCUUAAUUCGAGUAUGAGAAGGUUUUGAGGCUUUGAAGGAGAAAGGUUUAGGCCUUUGUGAGUUAUGGGUAAAGUAGGUAGUGUGAUAAAAGAGUUUGGUUUGUGCUUUAGAGCCCAAAUGUAUUGUUAAAGGAGUUGGUGUGGGCUUUUCAUGAAUUUUGGAUCUAAGUUUGAGUGGGUUUCAGGAGGAAUAAAGUUGAUAGAAGUGUAGGGCUUCUCGUUACCUUUUCGUGGAUAUAAGGAUCGUCAGAAAUGGAUUUAUAACGAAGAAAUUAUGGCCUUCAGAAGUUUUGAGGUGUGCAGGCUUAGCCGAGUACACUGGGCGUAAUUUUGGAGUACGCUAGGUGUACUGACCAGGGGUGGUAGCGAAUGUUCAUCAGAGUACCCUAGGCGUACAAUAUGAACGUUGGGCGUACGCCAAUCAGACCUGAACGCUAUUUUAGGGUCUUGGACCCUAUUUAAGCUCCUUAUCCUAUAACCUAACCCUAAUAUCUUCAACCUCCAUCCCUCUAAACCCUAGAAAUCGACCCUAAGCCUCCAUUUAAGUGAUUCUUGAGCAUUUUGGUGAUUUGGUGAGUUUUUGGUACAUGUUGUGGAAGAAGGACUUCCUUGAGGAAGCAUUGCUUGGCUUGGUGCUUGUGGAUCCAAGCCCUAAUCAUGUUGAUCUAGCUCCAGAAAGAAUAAAGUUUGAAUCUUUGUGGCUUUCUCAUGUGGAUCUAGUGGGGUGAUCACUUGUUGUGUUUGGCUUUUGAAGAAGAAGGAGAAUUGAAAGAGAAUAACUUGAGCACCUAGCUUUUGGAUCUAUGUUCUUCUCGUGUUGGUGCAUCUUCCAGAGGUAUCAAGUUUUGAACUUGCUUAUUGUUGUGUUAGUUUUUGUUUUGGGUCCAUUUUAGGGUUUUUGGUCCCAAAGCUUGAAGCUUUAUGACUUGUUGAGCUCCAAAGCAUAAUAUAUGUCCCUUUGAGUAUAUUUGGUGGUGUUAUGUCAUAAAAAUCCAAUCUUUGUCGUUGGAAUCAAGCCAUGCAUGAGAUAGAGGUUUUUGAGAUAAGGAGGUGAGUGUUUUGGGUGUUUGUAACCUUUCCAGCCAAGCAAAGGCUUAAAGUCACUGACUUUAUGGAGUAAGUACCAUUAGGGAGUCCAGAGCUAGGGAUUGAGGUAAUGUCUUAACUGUUUAAGACCAAAUGAGUCGAAAGAGUGAAUCUGGGGAGUACACUGAGCAUAUUUCCUGUACGCCCCGCGUACUACCCAGUGUCCCCGAUGGCCAAUAUGGAUUCGUGAGUAUGCUGAGUGUACCAAGAGAGGCACGCCUCGUGUAACCACACUGUGGAAUUUUGGGCUUAGAUUCAUUUUGGGCCAUGAGUGUUGGGCCUGGAGUUUGGACUGGUUGCAAUAGAGUCUUGGACUAGAGGAUUAUAUAUAUGUGCUUUGGGCCCUUGGGUUGGGCUUGCCAUUAGUGUAGCACCCGGUUCCUGGUAUGUAUUUCAUUCAAGUGUUUUUUUCAAUUUGGACUAAGACUCGGCGAGUUGAUGGACAACUCGUCGAGUAGUAGUGACUUGCACCCGGGGGUUAAGUGGCAGACUCGUCGAGUCGGCGGCAUGACUCGACAAGUAGACUCUGGCAGGACAAAACCCUAAUCCAUUGGCUUGCACCUUAUUUAAACGUCUUAUUCAGCCUCCCUCAUCCCUUAUGCUCUCAGAGCCCCCUCACAUCAAACCCUAAUCGUGCUUGGUGAAGAUCUAAGGCCUUUUUAGUGAUUCUUGGUGGUUUGUGAUGGCAAGAAGGAAGGAGAAGCUUGAGGAACCAAGAGGUUGGCCAGAGGAGUCAAACUUAUGCAUCAUCUCUAGUUCAUGGAAGCUAUAAAAUCGACACCUUGCUCCUUCUUGUAUUAGAUCCAUUCAUGGGGAGAUUUAGUGGUUUUAUAAGCUAUUCUUGGUGACCAACUAUGAUUGCAAGCAUGGUGGGGGUUAAGGUUUCAGAUCCAGGCUCAUUAAAGGGUUAAAAGGCAGAAAGGGACUGCCUUUGCACCCAUGGAAAGCCUCAUGUUCUUUUAGUGUCUUUUUAGCUCAUAAUCCCAUGCAUGCACGUAAAGUUGGUAACUUUACGUGCUAGAUCGAUCUUAGGAGCCUAGCUCUAUCAUUUGGGCAAGUGUUGUACAUCAGAAAUCGUGAAAUGAGACUUGGACAACCUUGACUCGGCGAGUUGUUCUUGGGACUUGGCAAGUCCGAGGCUUGACUUCCCUUUUUCUGUUAGGGUUCAAAGGAACCCAGUGAGUGUUAGAAUGGCCUUAGAAGGGUCCGAGGGAGUGACCCAACACAUUGGACUUAGCCAUAGACCUGUAGUUCAUAGUACUCGAUGAGUGCAUGUGCAGACUCGGCGAGUCGAAGGCAAUCUCCCAACUUUUGAAGAUGAACUCGACGAGUUGUUCAUACAACUCGGCAAGUCAAGGACAUGACUUGUUUAAAGGACGAGGAUGAAAUCGACGAGUUAUUCAUACAACUCGGCGAUUCGGAUAAAGGUUCAUUCGAAGUUGUUUUGGAAGGAGAACUCGUCAAGUCAUUGCUGAACUCGACGAGUAGAGGCAUGAAGAAGGACAAAUGAAAGGAUAGGGACUCGACGUGUUGGAGGCCCAAUUCGGUGAGUCAGGUCAACUGGAAGUUGACCUUGACUUUAACUGUGACUUGGCCCGGGGUAAAAUAGUCAUUUUAUCCUAAGAGUAGUUAUCAAUGUCUGACUAAGCGUUUUAUGGGAAUUAUAGCCGGAGGAUCACCGGAGCAUCAGUCAGACAUCUGUCAAUCAGCUUUCAGCUGUCAGCCUUACGAGGUGAGUUACCUUCCAAUAGGGGUGGGUCUAAAGCACCAAUGUCGGCCCACCAGUAGGUGAUUAUGGUUGAGAUGGUUAUCUUUGUGAUAAUUAUCUGGUUGCUAUAUCUUUGUUGAGAAUGUGUUCAGUAGUAGUAGGGCACACUAGCCCUGGUUACCGGUUGAAAGAUACCGAGGACGAUUACCGGUUGAAAGAUACCGAAGGGGUGGGUUUAUGUAUGGUAGUAUAAUUAUGAUAUGUCAUUAUGUGACUCAGUAUGCUUAUGUAUGUUAUUAUGAAACCAAUAUGUUAUGACUUGUAAUAUGUAAUAGGGAUGGGGGUGAAAGAGUCCCCAGAUACCGGUUGAAAGAUACUGAAUGAGAGGUUAGUUCCCAGGUACUGGUUGAAAGAUACCGAAGGGGAGAGUAGCUCCCGGUUACCAGUCGAAAGAUACCGAAGGGGAGGAUAGUUCCCGGUUACCGGUUGAAAGAUACCGAAGGGGAGGGUAGUUCCCGGUUACCGGUUGAAAGAUACCGAAGGGGAGGGUAGCUCCCGAUUACCGGUUGAAAGAUAUCGAAGGGGAGGGUAGCUGCCGGUUACCGGUUGAAAGAUAUCGAAGGGAAGGGUAACUCCCGGUUACCGGUUGAAAGAUACCGAUGAUUAUGUGCUAUGGGUAUGUUGGGGGAACUCACUAGGGUUCGUGCUUACAGUUUCAAUUUUGGUUUCAGGUACCUCUUCGUCCAAGGGGAAGGAGCCGAUAGUGUAGCAUCGCAUCACACACAUGUUGGAUAAGGUGUCUAAGUCCAUAACUAUUUCUGGUAUGNNNNNNNNNNNNNNNNNNNNNNNNNNNNNNNNNNNNNNNNNNNNNNNNNNNNNNNNNNNNNNNNNNNNNNNNNNNNNNNNNNNNNNNNNNNNNNNNNNNNUGGAUUAUCGACACAUUGGUUGUGACAUGAGAUAUCAUUAUGAAUACUUUUUAUACCGAUGGUUUUAUGUUACAAUUUACUUUAAAAUGAAAUUUUUUGGCCUUGAAUUCUAGGAUGUUACAAAAUGGUAUCAGAGCCCUGGUUUAAGGGAUUCGAACACACCCUCGGGGGUGUCUAGACUCAAACCUUGGGGUAAAGGAUUUUUUUUUAAAAUAAAUGGUUUCUAAAUCUAAGAAAAAGAGUUGGAGAAAGAACAAGGUGUGUGAUGUGUGCGACCGGACGAGCUCAAGUAAGCUUUCCCUAAGAUACCCAUACUUGUUAUGUUAUGUUAUAUGAUAUAUGUUUCUGAGAACUGCAUGCUAUAUUAGGGCUCAGGAUCUAGAAGGAUGCCUUUUAUGCCUGAUAUAUGUUUCUGAGAACUGCAUGCUAGAUUAGGGCUGAGGAUCUAGGAAGGAUGCCUUAUAUGCCUGGUGUAUGAGCUGCAUGCUAGGACUACCUAGUCAGCAGUAGGAUGGCCUGGCUAGGUAAUUCUUGAUAUGGUUACUCAAUGCAUGAAUGCUGCUUGCUUUGUGCUAUACGGGUCCUGGCUAACUUCAACUAACUAGUGAGUGGAUAUGUAACAUUAUCCGCAAGCUAGUUAGGAGAGGAUGGUAAGGACUCCUGAUGCAGCUGAUGGAAGAGAGUAGGUCGGAGAGUGCCCUAGGGAAGCCUAGGAUGAGAAUAGUUGGAAAGGGAUAUUAGUUAUGGGACUUGGUAAAGUCGAAGCAAUCCUUGAGGAAAGUACGGAUAGAUGUGGAAGGUAGUAUGGGCCCGUACUACUGAAAGAAGAGGAUCCGUACUCGAGUCAAGGAGGGCCGUGAUGGAACCAAGAAUCUUGGAUAAUGUGUGAUACCUCUUGGGGUAUGUUUGGAUCCUGACAUUUAUGUGUUUAUUCCCAGUAUGGUGGUCACAAGACAUGGAGCAAGAGGCUCAGGAUCUGGGUCAUGAUCGGGAUCGGGAUCGGGCUCGGGUGCGGGAUCCGAGCAGGUAGAUGAUGGAUUAUGUGAGUUCCUCGCGUCUGAGAUUAUGAGAGGUAUCCUUGAGUCGACCCGAGUCAUUUUCGGGUCGAUCAAGGAGGGGAUCAUCGAGCUGAUUGAGGAUCGCCUCUGAGCAUUCAGGAGUGAUUUGGCGUUUGUCAAGGCGGGUACGCACACACUGUCCUUCAAGGACUUUAGAGGAAGUGGUGCGUUAGAUUUUCACGGGGCGAAGGACCCCAUUACUGCCAGGAGAUGGAUUGCAGACAUUGAUUCUACACAGUUGACGAGCUUCUGCCCAGAAGGGUCGAAGGUCCGCUUUAUGGCGGGAUGUUUGAGAGACAGAUCUAGAGGUUGGUAGGAGUCGGUUGGUGACUCAAUGGGAGCCCCGGUCGUCGAUGCUAUGACCUGGUCAGACUUUGUGACCAGAUUCAGGACGCAGUUCGCGCCAGCUAUAGAGCUUUAGCAGCUGGCCAAGUAGUUUUUGGACAUGAGACAGACUACCGAGACUGUGGCAGAGUUCACCGCCAAGUUCUAGGAGAGGGCUCUAUUGGUGCCCCAGUAUACAGGCGAUGAGGAUAUCAAGAGGACCCGCUAUCACGACAUGUUGAGAGCCGACAUCAGGGAGCAUGUCAGCUUCUCAGCAUGACCGACCUUGGACUUUAUGAUGGCCAAGGCGAGGGAGAGGGAGAUCGAUUUGGAGCACCUCAGGAAGAGGAAGGCUAAGACUAGGCAGGCUGCAGGGGUUUUUAGGAAGAAACCCAAGAGAUUCGACUCCCGGUCGAAGGGCCAACUGGGCCGAGAACGCUAUGGAAAAUGCGGUCGGUCACAUGAGGGAGCAUGUCGAACUCGGUCAGGUUCUGGCUGCUAUAAGUGUGGCAAGGCUGCACAUUUUUGCAGGGAUUGUACUGCCCCCGCCCUCACAAUGCAGAUGACAGACCUGAUUUGCUUUCAUUACAAUCAGAGGGGCUACAAGAAGGCCAAUUGCCCUAGAUUGAUAGCAACGACAACAGCAGUGCCAGCAGCGACACUGACCCCAAUAGCAGCGCGGGUUACGGAUGGCCGAAAGGCCAAGGUAGAGGCUCCAGUGGUGCGAAGCAGAGCAUUUUAGUUGACAGCCGAGGAGGCACGCGCUGCACCCGAUGUGGUGUCGGGUACGGUUUCUUCUCAUAUUUCUUUAUGUUAUGUCGUUGUGAUUUUGAUAUGUUAUGUGUAUGAUGUGUUUAGGAUCGUUCCAUGUGAACGGUAUCCCGGUUCAGGUGUUGUUUGACUUGGGUGCUACCCGAUCAUUUGUUUCUCUUGCGCUCAUCAAGAAGUUUCAUGAGUCUUCGGGCAUGUUGGAUUGUCAUCUAGAGGUCGAGAUUGCGUACGACCGGUUAGUGCGAGCAUCGGAGGUCUACCAGGAUUGUGUAUUGAGGCUGUUCGAGGAACGUUACCUGGUAGAAUUAGUUCCCAUACCUUUGCGGGGGAACAAGAUUAUUAUUGGUAUGGAUUGGCUAAGCCCCAAUGGGGCAGUGAUCGACUGUGCUUAGUAGUUGGUGCGGAUCAGGACCCCAAAGGGGGGAGAGCUGGUGAUCCAGGGCGAGAGGCCAUAGGGAGGACCAACUUUAUGUUCCGCAACGAGGGCGAGGCGCUAACUCUAGCAGGGUUGCGCAAGAUUUGUCGCCUAUGUUAUGGAUACCCGGGAGGCGGGUAAGGCGAUGGUGGGUGAUUUGCCCGUGGUAUGGGAGUUUGCGGAUGUAUUCCCUGAGGAGUUGCCUGGGAUACCUCUGGAGAGGCAGGGGGGGGGGCGGANNNNNNNNNNNNNNNNNNNNNNNNNNNNNNNNUAGCCACCGUAUCGGUUGGCUCCUCCUGAGAUGUAGGAGUUGUCUACACAGCUGCAGGAGCUGUUGGACAAGGGAUUCAUCAGACCGAGUACUUCACCUUAGGGAGACCCGAUUCUAUUUGUGAAGAAGAAGGACGGUUCGCAUCAGAUGUGUAUAGAUUAUCGGGAGCUGAAUAAGGUAACGGUGAAGAACCGUUACCCACUCCCGAGGAUUGAUGAUCUCUUUGACCAGCUACAGGGAGCGUCUUGGCUCUCCAAGAUUGAUCUGCGUUCAGGAUAUUAUCAGAUGAGGGUCAGAGAGGAGGAUGUGCAGAAGACUGCGUUCCGGACGCGCUAUGGUCACUAUGAGUUCGUGGUGAUGCCUUUCGGGCACACCAAUGCUCUUGCCGUGUUCAUGGAUCUCAUGAACCAUGUGUGCAGACCGAUGUUGGAUCGGUCUGUGAUAGUUUUCAUCGAUGACAUCUUGGUUUAUUCCAGGACGCGAGAGCAGCAUGAGGAGAAUUUGCGGGAAGUUUUGGAUACAUUGAGGAGAAAGGACUUGUAUGCUAAGUUCUCCAAGUGUGAGUUCUGGUUGCGCGAAGUGUAGUUUCUUGGGCACCUUGUCAACCAGGACGGGAUUUCGAUGGAUCCAGCCAAGGUACAGGCCGUGAUGAGGUGGGAAGUCCCGAAGUCUCCAUCUGAGAUUCAGAGCUUCCUGGGGAUGGCAGGCUACUAUCGAAGAUUCAUCCAGGACUUCUCCAAGAUAGUCGUACCUUUGACUAAGCUAACAAGGAAAGUCGUGGUCUUUUGCUGGGGGCCUGAACAGCAGGCUGCAUUUGAGACAUUGAGAUAGUGAUUGUGCGAGGCGCCAAUCUUAGCCCUGCCGGAGGGAAUGGAGGAUUUUGUAGUUUACUGCGAUGCGUCCAUCUUGGGUUUGGGCGCGGUAUUGAUGCAGAGAGGGCAUGUUAUAGCUUACGCUUCGAGGCAGCUGAAGCCUCAUAAGGCGAACUACCAGACGCAUGAUUUGGAGCUGGGGGCGGUUCCUCUUUCAACUAUGAUAGCCGAGGGUUGUUAACCCUUCACUGUAGGGUGUGGGUCCCCUGUCAUGGAGGCGUGAGUCAGAUAUUGAUGGAGGAGGCGCACAAAUCCAGGUUUUCUAUUCAUCCAGGGGCGACGAAGAUGUAUAGGGAUCUUCGUCUCGACUAUUGGUGGCCCUGCAUGAAGCGGGACGUAGCAUAGUAUGUGGAGCAGUGCUUGACCUACAGCAAGGUCAAGGCCGAACAUCAGAGGCCACACGGAAAGAUGCAGACGUUGGAUAUUCCCAUGUGGAAAUGGGAAAAUAUCACCAUGGAGUUCAUCACCAAACUUCCCAAGAUCGGGCGGGGAGUGGAUUCCAUAUCGGUCAUUGUGGAUCGGUUGACCAAGAACGCCCAUUUUAUCCCGAUCCAGGAGAGUAUAUCGGCUGAGAAGUUAGCCGGCAUCUACAUUCGAGAGGUGGUGGCACGGCACAGCAUGCCAGUGUCAGUGAUUUCAGACAGAGACGUGCGGUUUACUUCCAAGUUCUGGAAAAAAUUCCACGACGAGUUGGGUACUCGCCUCCACUUUAGCAUCGCUUUUCAUCCGCAGACGGAUAGUCAGAGCGAGCAGACCAUCCAGACUCUAGAGGAUAUGUUGCGAGCAUGUGUGCUAGGCUUUGGUGGUAGCUGGGAUACUUACCUCCCAUUGGCUGAAUUCCCCUACAACAACAGCUACCACGCGAGAAUCGAUUGUCCUCCCUUUGAGAUGUUAUACGGGAGGAAGUACAGGACCCCGAUAUGUUGUGGUGAGGUUGGCUAGAGGGUCAUGGGGAGCACCGAGGUGGUGCUCAAGAUGACAGAUAGGAUCCAGCAGGUCAGGAGCAGGCUCUAGAGUGCACAGAGUCGGCAGAAAAGUUAUGCCACAAGCGCCGUUCAGACCUGGAAUUCUAGGUCGGGGAUAUGGUUCUCCUGAAGGUGUCGCCUUGGAAAGGCGUCAUUCGAUUCAGGAAGAGGGGAAAGCUGGGCCCCAGGUACAUUGGAACCUUCAGGGUUAUAGCCCGAGUGGGCAGGGUGGCAUAUCGGCUGGAUUUGCCAGCCAAACUCAAUCAGAUUCAUAGCACUUUCCACGUCUCCCAGCUGCGGAAGUGUCUGGUGGACGACUUGGUGGUGGUGCCCCUAGAGGAUAUUCAGGUUGAUGACAUCCUGAACUACAUUGAGCGGCCUAUGGCAAUCCUUGACCAGAAGAUAAAAGACUUGAGGAACCAGAAGGUUGAGCUAGUGAAGGUGUAAUGGCAGCACCGGAAGGGCUCAAAGUGGACGUGGGAGCCGGUGGACGAGAUGAGGGAGCAUUACCCUGAGCUUUCCAGGAUCAAGUAGCAUACUUCGAGGACGAAGUCUAAAAUAAGUGGGGGAUACUUAUAGCACCCGGUUCCUUGUAUGUAUUUCAUUCAAGUGUUUUUCGCAAUUUAGACUAAGACUCAGUGAGUUGAUGGACAACUCAUCGAGUAGUAGCGACUUGGACUCAGGGGUUAAGUGGCGGACUCGUCAAGUCGGCGGCAUAACUCAACGAGUAGACUCUGGCAGGACAAAACCCUAAUCCAAGGGUUUGCACCCUAUUUAAACGUCUUAUUCAGCCUCCCUCGUCCCUUAUGCUCUCAGAACCCCCUCACAUCAAACCCUAAUCGUCCUUGGUGAAGAUCUAAGGCCUUUUUAGUGAUUCUUGGUGGUUUGUGGUGGCAAGAAGGAAGGAGAAGCUUGAGGAACCAAGAGGUUGGCUAAAGGAGUCAAACUUGUGCAUCAUCUCCAGUUCAUGGAAGGUAUAAAGUCGACACCAUGCUCCUUCUUGUAUUAGAUCCAUUUAUGGGGAGAUUUAGGGCUUUUAUAAGCUAUUCUUGGUGACCAACCAUGAUUGCAAGCAUGGUGGGGGUUAAGGUUUCAUAUCCAGGCUCAUUAAAGGGUUAAAAGGCAGAAAGGGACUGCCUUUGCACCCAUGGAAAGCCUCAUGUAACUCAAGAGCUUCUUUUAGGGUCUUUUUAGCUCAUAAUCCAAUGCAUGCACGUAAAGUUGGUAACUUUACAUGCUAGAUCGAUCUUAAGAGCCUAGAUCUAUCAUUUGGGCAAGUGUUGUACAUCAGAAAUCGAGAAAUAAGACUUGGAUGACCUCGACUCGACGAGUUGUUCUUGGGACUCGGCGAGUCUGAGGCUUGACUUCCCUUUUUCUGUUAUGGUUCAAAGGAACCCAGUGAGUGUUCGAAUGGCCUCAGAAGGGUCCGGGGGAGUGACCCAACGCAUUGAACUUAGCCAUAGACCUGGAGUUCAUAGGACUCGAUGAGUGCAUGAGCAGACUCAGUGAGUCCAAGGCAAUCUUCCAACUUUUGAAGAUGAACUCGACGAGUUGUUCAUAUAACUUGGCGAGUCAAGGACAAGACUUGUUUGAAGGACGAGGAUGAACUCGACGAGUUGCUCAUACAACUUGGCAAGUCGGAUGAAGGUUUAUUCGAGGUUGUUUUGGAAGGAGAACUCGUUGUGUCAUUGUUGAACUCGACGAGUAGAGGCGUGAAGAAGGACAGAUGAAAGGAUAGGGACUCGACGAGUUGGAGGCCCAACUCGGCGAGUCAGGUCAACUGGAAGUUGAGUUUGACUUUGACUUUGACUUGGCCAGGGGUAAAAUAGUCAUUUUACCCUAAGAGUAGUUAUCAGUGUCUGACUAAGCGUUUUAUGGGAAUUAUAGCCGGAGGGUCACCGGAGCAGCAGUCAAACAUCUUUCGAUCAGCUUUUCAGCAGUCAGCCUUACAAGUUGACUUACCUUCUAGCAGGGGUGGGUCUAAGGCACCAAUGCCGGCCCACCAGUAGGUGAUUAUGGUUAAGAUGGCUAUCUUUGUGAUAAUUGUCUGGUUUCUAUAUUUGUGCUGAGAAUGUUUUCAGUAGUAGUCGGGCACACUAGCCCUGGUUACCGGUUGAAAGAUACUGAAAACGCUUAUUGGUUGAAAGAUACCGAAGGGGUGGAUAAAACCCAUGCAUGUAUAGUAGUAUGAUUAUGAUAUGUCAUUAUGUGACUCAGUAUGCCUAUGUAUGUUAUUAUGAAGCCAAUAUGUUAUGACUUGUAAUAUGUAAUAGGGAUAGGGGUGAAAUAGUCCCCAGAUACCGGUUGAAAGAUACCGAAGGGGAUAGUAGCUCCCGAUUACCUGUCGAAAGAUACCAAAGGGGAGGAUUGUUCCUGGUUACCAGUUGAAAGAUACCGGAGGGGAGGGUAGUUCCCGGUUACCGGUUGAAAGAUACCGAAGGGGGAGGGUAGCUCCCGGUUACCGGUUGAAAGAUACCGCAGGGGAGGGUAGCUCCCGGUUACCGGUUGAAAGAUACCGAUGAUUUUGUGCUAUGGGUAUGAUGGGGGAACUAACUAAGCUUCGUGCUUACAGUUUCAGUUUUGGUUUCAGGUACCCCUUCGUGCACGGUGAAGGAGCCGGCAGUGUAGCAUUUUGAAAUAUGUUAUGACAUUGACACUUGAGAUUUUGAGAAUUAUUAUAUGUGAUGUUGGUAAUUUAAAAUCGAAAAUUUUGUUUGAAAAUUAACGAUGUUACAAGUUGGUAACAGAGCCUUGGUUUGAGGGAUUCGGAUACACCUUCGGGUAUGUCUGGACUCAAACAGAGAAUUUGAGAAAAGUUUUCAAAAUGAAUGAUUUUUCUAAAAAUGAGUAACAGAAUUUUAAGAGAAAGAGGAAACGAGCAAUGUGUACAAUCAGCCAGCACCCGAACGGUGAUUUCCCAAAAUACCCUUACUUAUGUGUUAUAAUUUGUUAUGAGAUAUGUUAUGCAUGCUAGAGAGUAGGCUAGGUAUUUCAUAUUUUAGGACUAGAGUGGCCUGAUUUGUGAUGCCUUAGCCUAGGAGUUACUGCUAUCUGUGAAUUGCUUUUGAGUAUGUGCGGAGUAAGAGUAUCCAACAGGAAUCCAUUUUUAGAGAAGGAUCUAAGUAGAAGAGUAAUCUAGGAGAGAUACCUAGAUGAGCAUUGAGGAACCUACUAAGAGGGUAGUCAGAUACCCGCGAGGGGUGGAGUUGCUUGAGCUCGAUGAUACCUUUUGAGUAUGAGUAUAGCAAGUAGAGUUGUAACCUAAAGUGGUUAUACGUGUUGAUAGAGAAUAUUCUAUGCCCGAAUGCUACUUGCUUCAUGCUUUGUGGAGCUCUUGAUGAUGGGAGUCAGCUACUAAGUGAAUAUGACGAUAUUCAGGAGGUAGAUGGCUGGCAUCAUGAGGAGUUCUUCAACAGCUGAUGGCGGAGAAGUGUGAGAGCCUAGGAAGAGCCUAAGGAGUGACCCUUGUUAGAUAUGUAUACUGAUAGAGGAAGAGUAUUCACAAGGGAGCAACUAGGUAUGACGGCAUUGAUGAUUGAGGAGGUUGAGCAGCUACUUAGGAAAUCUGGGAUGAUCCAUGUAGAAAGUGUGGGUAGAUGUGGCAAGUAGUAUGCGCCCGUACUACUGAAAGAAGAGGACCCAUACUCGAUACAGGGAAAAUUCUUGAGGAUCUAAGUAGCAGAUGAGAGGUGAUCACAUGGUUUUAGUACCAUGAUCCGUAGCAGAUGAGAGGUGAUCACAUGGUUCGAGUACCAUGAUCCGUAGCAGAUGAGGGGUCAUAACGUGGUUCGAGUACCAUGAUUCGUGGCGGUUAGUGCUUCUGGUGUUACCAGUUAGUCCAUUGUCAUUAAUUAGACUGAGAUCAGAUGUGAUAGAGUGUGGAGCCAGAGGGCCAUGUUGAACGAGUUUCAAGGGAGCACACCAUGAGGGGGAAAUCGAGUUGGUUUCUGAGAAAGUUAGAUGAGAUGACAACUGGAGUCGCAAGACUUGGGAAUGAGUAGAGGUGGUACUUCAUGGAGAAUUAUGGGUUGAGCUACACAGUUAGCCGAUAGUGGGUUUACCACUUCCUAUGACCGUAGUGUGCUAUUUUCUAUGAGGAGCAGAAGGGAUACGAGUUUCUGAGUUGGAGGUAAACCCUGUGGGGUAGCAAGUGUUGUUACCUUUUCACCAGAGUAUUUGGGCAGUAUGUUUGCUGCGAGGUAUCCUUAUACCAGGAAAGAGUCAUUAGUGGGACUAAGAUGGAUGAGAACAAGGAGGUGCCUUGUUGGGGGAAAAGUACUUUUAUUAGCAGUUUUCAGUGGAAAAGGGGUAUAUUGGGGCGGUGGCCAUCAUGGUUUAUGUUGUGUAUCCACAACGAGAAUGAGGUAUGUGCUUUUAUGAUUAUUCCCGAUUUGGGAGGCGUGUCGAGGAGUUAGAGUCGAAGUAUGUGAAAGGACACUAUUUCCAAAUUAGAUACAGAUUGGAUUCAGAACAAUGGGGUUUCUGGCGGUGUGUCAGUCUGAGGCCUCAAGAUGCCUAGAGGCAGUCGCGUGGGGAGUAUUUUGAGAUUUCGUCAGGAUGGGACAUAUGGAGAUUGGUUGGUUUCCUUUGCGAAGGCCCUGGGAUGAUUGUGUAAUACAUUCAAGAGUCAAGUGUGACAUAAUUGGUGAGACAAUCCACUGAUUAGAUUGUGGAUGUGCCAAUUGGUGAUUGUUCGAACCUUGAGUGGGGGAGAACUAGUUUUCCAGUAAGAAGAUCAGUGAUUCGUUCAAGUGUGGUUAGAGAGCGGUUAUCGAGACCUACGGUUCGAAUACAGGAUACCAGGGUUAUUGGUAGCCGAGGCGAAGUGCAGAGCAAGGUAAUGCAAGAUGUACAUGUUCAGGAAAGGACGAGUGUCCUCACCGCAGGUGGCCGUUGGACAGAUACCAUGUGGUGAUUAUAAAUUCUUCAAGGUUGUAAUGGUAAAAUUUGAGGCGAUUGGGUCAAAUGAUAGCUUCGGCGGUGAAGAACUCCGGGCUUACCGUACGGGUUGUUAUACGCAUUUUGGAAAGGGUAGAAGUGGAUUGGGCAACCAACUCCAGGGCCAAUAUGUGUAUACUUGCAUGGGUUUGGAGCAAUAGAGGAGGAAGUUUUGGAUGUUCCUCAACGUGUUCUGAGUCGUUGACGAUUCAUCCAUAAGAGUUGGAAUAUUCCGAAGUUGUGUGCUGUGGGGAAAUGAAGAUUAGAUACGAGAUUAUUUAAAAUGUGAAUUGUAGUAAGAGAAGAAGUUUUGUCAUGAAGGUAGCCGUCAGGAGUAGUGAUGUUUAUUUCUGGAUGGGUGUGUGAUCAUCUGUCUAUUAUUAUCCGCGGAACAUGGGUUAAUGGAUGUAGAGUGUGGCGUCGACUAGAGAAUGAGACCGUGGGAUGAUAAGAGAAAGUACUGUAAGGGUGCAGGGAGUUGCAUCAUCCUUGAGUUAGUACCAAAGGGUGUGGUGAUACUACGGUGAGUCGUAGUAUUCACUAGUUAGCGAGAGGGUGUGGUGACACUACGGGGAGCCGUAGUCUUCACCAGUUAGCAAGAGGGUGUGGUGAAAUCGCGGGGAGCCAUAGUAUCUACCAGGCAGCAAGAUGGUGUGGCGUACUUUAGGGGGGCGUGGUCCUUGCCAUGUAGUGAGGGAGCAUCAUGGAACUGCGGGGAGCCGUAGCUUCCACUGAUCAGAGGGAGAGCGUUGUGGAAUUACGGGGAGCUGUAGUUUUCACCAGCCAUAGCAUGACGCAGAAGAGUUCUUAGGCUUGUGUAGCCUCAUCAAUUGAGUCUGUAGGAUCUUGGUGGUUGAACCAAGGGAGAGACCGGGGUCUCCAUAUUUGUCUGGGAUCGUUAUAUUCUAUGUUGAGUCAUGGUUAUCAAAACCGAAGAGAAUUGGAGAAGUGGUGUACGUGUGGAUUGCGAAUCUUGGGUCACGAGUGGGGUACAAGAUUGGAAUUGAGUGGCUCCAAUUCUGUUGUUGAAUUCGACUCUCUAGCUUGAGUCUGGAUUCGUUCGUGUGUUUAGUAGGCAAUAUGAGGUUUCAGAUUCGUAGAUGGGUUCAUUUUGAGAAGUUUUGUUCUCCAUCAGAUGUAAUAGACUAGAGUGAGUUAGUACGUCUGUAUGGGAAGAACCGCGAAACGCAUGGAAUCAGUGGUUGGUAGAUGACAGAGGUCGAAGGUGAGACGAUAUCAGAUAAGUUGUAGUAUUCUCUUGGGAUAAAGCAAACUACGUAACUUGUGGUUCGCGAUGAGCUGAGAUAACUAUUGUGAGCAGGAGGGCUGUAAAUUUAUUUUAUUGGGUGUGUAAGGGGUAGCCCUUGGAUGUUCAACUGUUGGGCAGGAGCUGACCUGGUACUCAAAGUUAGGAGCGUGUUAUCCGAGUCUGUUAUUCGAUGAGAGAUUAUCAGGGUGAUAUUUUGCAUGAGCGGUCUGUCGGGGAGACAGACCACUAUAGUUUCCAAUUCCGGAGAGUUAGAGCAGGUUCCUUCACGAAAAAACGGGUCGGUCCUUCUUCGGCUUGCGAAAUUUCUAUUUGGUCUCGGAUGUCAUGGGAGAAGGAUCAUUGAAUAUUAAGAGAUUUUCCGGUUGUGCUUCUUGGGUUAUUUGUUUCGAUCUAUGUGAAGAAAAGGAUCGAUUUCAAGGGCGAAAUCUAAUUUAAGUGGGGGAGAAUUGUAACAUCCUGCUCCAGAUUUUUUUGUGAUUUAAGGCCCGUGGGCCUUAAUCCGAGUAUGACAAGAUUUUGAGGCUUUGAAGAAGGAAGGUUUAGGCCUUUUGGGUUAUAGGUAAGGUAGGUUGUGUGAUAAAAGAGUUCGGUUUGUGCUUUAGAGCCAAAAUGCAUUAUUAAAGGAGCUUGUGCGGGCUUUUCAUGAAUUUUGGAUCUAAGUUUGAGUGGGUUUCAAGAGGAAUAAAGUUGAUAGAAGUGUAGGGAUUUUUGUUACCUUCUCAUGGAUAUAAGGAUCGUCAUAAACGGAUUUAUAACGAAGAAGUUAUGGCCUUCAGAAGUUUUGAGGUUUGCAGGCUUAGCCGAGUACGCUGGGCGUACACAAAGCGUACGAUGGGCGUAAUUUUGGAGUAUGCUGGGCAUACUAACCAGGGGUGGUCGCGAAUGUUCUUCAAAGUACGCUGGGCAUACUAUAUGAAUGUUGGGCCCAUGCCAAUCAAACCUGCACACUAUUUUAGGGUCUUGGACCCUAUUUAAGCUCCUUAUCUCAUAACCUAACCCUAAUAUUUUCAGCCUCCAUCCCUCUAAACUCUAGAAAUCGACCCUAAGCCUCCAUUUGAGUGAUUCUUGAGCAUUUUGGUGAUUUGGUGAGUUUUUGGUACAUAUUCUGGAAGAAGGAGUUCCUUGAGGAAGCAUUGCUUGGCUUGGAGCUUGUGGAUCCAAGCCCUAAUCAUGUUGAUCUAGCUCCAGAAAGAAUAAAGUUUGAAUCUUGGUGGCUUUCUCAUGUAGAUCUAGUGGGGUGAUCACUUGUUGUGUUUGGCUUUUGAAGAAGAAUGAGCUUUGAAAGAGAAUAACUUGAGCACCUAGCUUUUGGAUCUAUGUUCUUCUCUUCUUGGUGCAUCUUCCAGAGAUAUCAAGUUUUGAACUUGCAUAUUGUUGUGCUAGUUUUUGUUUUUGGUCCAUUUUAGGGAUUUUGGUCCCAAAGCUUGAAGCUUUAUGAGUUGUUGAACUCCAAAGCAUAAUAUAUGUCCCUUUGAGUAUAUUUAGUGGUGUUAUGUCAUACAAAUUCAAUCUUGGUCAUUGGAAUGAAGCCAUGCAUGAGAUAAGAGGUUUUUGAGAUAAGGAAGUGAGUGUUUUGGGUGUUUGUGACCUUUCUAGCCAAGCAAAGGCUUAAAGUCACAGAUUUAUGGAGUAAGUGCCAUUAGGGAGUCCAGAUCUGGGGAUUGAGGUAAUGUCUUAACUGUUUAAGACCAAAUGAGUAGAAAGAGUGAAUAUGAGGAGUACACCAAGCGUAAUUCCUGUACACCCCGCAUACAGCCCCAGUGUCACCGAUGGCCAAUAUGGAUUCGUGAAUACGCUGAGCGUGCCAAGAGAGGUACGCCCCAUGUAACCUCACUGUGGACUUUAGGGCUUAGUCUCAUUUUGGGCCUUGAGUGUUGGACCUGGAGUUUGGAUGUGUUACAAUAGAGUCUUGGACCAAAGGAUUAUAUAUAUGUGCUUUGGGCCCUUGAGUUGGGCUUGCCAUUAGAUAUGAGAGAGUUAGGCCUCGGAGGAGCCCGUUUAUUAUUGGGCCUUGGUGGGCCCAAUGGGUUUUAGGUCAUUGAUGGGCUGGGUAGUGGACUACCUUUAGACCUAAUGAGCGAGAGUUGAGAAUUAGUUCCUAAUUGGGAUAAUUGUGGUUUUGGCACAAAGUUAGGGAUUCGUGGCAACAACGUUUAUAGGGACUAUUCAUUAUCCGAGGUGAGUGUUCUCACUAUACUUUACCUAGAGUGGUAAUUAUGUGUGACUAGAGGGUCUUAUGUGCUUGCCUGAGUUAUGCAAUUUAUGUGUGAUAUGUGUUGUGUGCUAUAUUAUGUGAUAUUUAGACUGGACCAAAUGGUCCAAUGAACUGUUUUAUAUUAUGACCGGACCGGAGGGUCAAUGAACGGUGUUAUAUUAUAAUCGGACCGUAGGGUCCAACGAGCUAUGCGAUCGGAGGGUCCUCACUUAGACCAGACAGGAGGAUCCAACGAGUAGUGAGACCAGAGGGUUCUCAUCCAGACUGGACCAGAGGGUCCAACGACCCAUGGAACUGAAGGGUCCCACUGAGACACAACGGACCAGAGGGUCCUACAGAGUUAUAGCCUCGAGUGGCUAAUAUGUGUAUGUGGUAUUUUGGGGAACUCACUAAGCUUCGAGCUUAACGUGUUCUGUGUUAUAUGUUUCAGGUUCUUAUCAGGAUCGCGGGAAGGCGGCGGCUCGAUUGUACACACAAGAGAAAAGAUUCAUGAAUGAGGAUCCUGGAUUUUGAUAAUUACUUUUGAAAACAAUUUUGAAAUACGUUAUGACAUCGACACUUGAGAUUUUGAGAAUUAUUAUAUGUGAUGUUGGUAAUUUAAAAUCGAAAAUUUUGUUUGAAAAUUUAUAGUGUUACAUUUAGUUUCCAAAAACAUUAAUUAUCAAAAUCUAGGAUCCAAGUUGCAAAAGAAAUAAAUGGUUUGGUAUCCUUUAUCUAUCCAUUUGAAUUCAACCCGGUAGAUAUUGAUUAUCAAUUAUAUCUCGGUAUAUAAUUCCUAGAUUUAUGGGAUCGCUAAAAAAAAUUUAAUUAGACAUGUUUGAUCCCAUCUAUGCCUCAGAUUUCUCUUACUUAGGUACCCUUUAUGACAAAAUAUUUCCGAUCAAAUUGACCAAUUUGAAAAACAUGUGUAAUCGACAUGUAACUUGGUUAUAGAAAUCGCGAAUACAUGUCGUCCAUCAAAAGAUAACACUAAGUGGUUAUGCAUCCUUUAUCCCACUAGUGGAUAUAAGAGAUGUGUGAGUAAUCUUCAAAAUUAUUGCAUCGAUUUGAGGUUUGUAAAAAGGGUCUUUAUAUGUUUUAUAAUUAUAGUUUAAAAACAUAUGAUAUCAUGGUUAUUACAUGCAUAUAAUAAACCAUGAUAUCAGUUUUCAAAAGAAAAUCACAUUUAAAGGUUCUAUAUAAAAAACUAGUUUUUAUAUAAUUUGACGUAAUUCAAUUUUAAUAACCGGUAUUAUGUUUGAGUGCAUUUGAACUUUUUUUAUAUCUUUAAUAAAACUUCAUUUUUAUUAAUUAUAUAUUUGGAGUUUGUAUAAGUUACAUAAAUCACCAUUUUAAAACUUAUAAUGUAGUAUUUCACAAUUUGAAGUUAUUAACGAUUUUAUAAAACCAGGUUUUAUUUUAAAAUAAUAACUUCUUACAUCUUAUGUCCAAUUUUGAAAACCCAAACUCCAUGUGAUGUUUAUUUGUCCAAAAUUAUUUUAGCAUGUGAAAAACUAAUUUAUCGACCACACAUAAUAAUUACAUAUAAUAAACAACACAAACAUGCAUAAAAAGACAUGUGCAUAAACAUAACCAACUAUUGACAUUUUUGUGAGCCAACAAAAAAGAUGUCAAGUUCAUUCCUAAAGGGAAAUUUACGGGGACCAAAAAACUUCUUGUAAUGUUGUUAUAGAAGCUCCCACUUGAGUAAACACUCAUUGUUUGCAAAAGAUUGGAAAAACUUCUUGAAGGCUAAAAUUCAACAACUGUCACUAAAAGUCCAACAACCAUUUGUAAAUAGCAUUAGUGACACUUUUCAGAAAGUUUCACUCAAAAUCUUGCACACCUUUUAAACUCAAAAAUUGCUCUUUUGUCUUCAAAAAUGGUUCAAACUUUAUUUUUUGUUACAUUUUUGUACAAAUAAAUUAUUUCUAAAACCUAAUCUAUUACUUUACAAAAAUAAAUAAGAAAACUAAUCUAUUUAGUUUAUUACAUAUCAUAUGAUUAAAUAAAUUAUUACCACCAUUUUUAUAAAACAACCAACACAACAAACACAACAAACACAAUGGUCCUUUGCUAGUUUAUGCACAUCAUAUACAUCAACAUACACAUAAAACAACAUUUGUUUUUCUAAGAGAACUUUAAAUGACAAAAGAUACAUGUUGGUCACAUAAAAUAACAAAUAUAAAGUUGUCAUAGAAAAUAUCUAUGAACAUAUUUUUAUAAAAAAAACAAGUUAUCUAUAUUCUCCAAAAAGUAAGAUUUCUAAAAAAUCAAAAAAAAUCUAACCAACUUGCAAGGUGGCCUUGAUACCAAUUGUUGGCUUUUAGUUCAAAAAUAGAUUCAUAAAUUAGAAAAAUAUGGCAAUGGAAGACUUAAAAUUUUGAAAUAACAUAAACAUUUUAUACCCACCAAGGAUCUUCUUGCAAGUAAUAGAAAGAUUUAAACACAAACCAAAGAAAUAAUGAAGAAAUAACAACCUUUGUUGUUCUUUAGGUCCUAUUGGGAGGUUUGGAAGUUGAUGAAGAAUGUGGAAACUUUGAGACACCAACAACGACUCAAAUUGAUGUAGAUGCUAGUCCAUAAACUCUUAAACCCUUAUGCUUUAAGUUCAUAACCAAUAUGAACUUAAAGAGGGCAUGAAAAAUGCAAGUAUUCUCUUCAUGCAAAAGCAAGACUAGAGAGAGUGAGAGAGAGGGUCAUAGUUUCGACCAUUCUUCAAAAGAGUGACUAGCCAAAAAUGCAAGCCUCAAACCUUGUAUUUAUUGUAAUAACAAGACCCUACCUUUUGAAUAAACUACUCAAUAGACCAUACUCUUAUUUAAAUAAUCAAGGAGCCAUUCUCUCAUUUAAAUAAUCAAAAAGCCAUACUCUUAUUUAAAUAUUCAAAGAGUCAUUCUCUUAUUUAAAUAAUCAAAAAGCCAUACUCUUCCUUGUUGAACCUUAUUUUUACAAAUAAUAAAAGGAAGAAGGAAAAAACUUUAUAUUUUAUAAAACAAAUUUAUAAAAUAUAAACUUUAACUUUUCGGUAAAAUACAAAAAGAAUUUUUUAGUCCAAAAUGUUGUGCAUAACUUAUUAAUUCAUACCAUAAGAAUUAUAUAUAUUGUUACUUGCUAAUGAAAAUUAUUAUUUCCUAGAAAUAAAUAAUGUCCAAUUUAAUUAUAAGAGUUUAUUAAAUAUUUAUUAAAACCAAUUUCUAAUAAAUAAUCAAUUGUAUCAGGUUGUUGUUAGUGUGACCCAUUAGUAUCAUAUGUUAACUACUAAUAUCACUUUAAUAUGACUCUUGAGCAUGCUAGACCUUUCACACCUCCCGUUUUUGGUAGAAGUUCCAUGAGGAACUGUGCAUGGGAUUGCACUUCAGGACAGUUUAUCGGCCAGAGUGAACGGACGAUACAAACCCUUGAGGAUAUGCUAUGGGAAUGUGUCAUUGAUUUUGGUAAGAGUUGGGACUCCUACCUACCUCUUGCGGAGUUCUCCUACAACUACACUUUUUCACUCCAGCAUUGGUGCUCUGCCUUUCGAGCUCUUAUAUGGGCGGAGAUGUCGUACCCCAGUUUGUUCGGGCGAGGUUGGUCAUAGAAUUAAGGGGCGGACCUGUUGGAUUAGUGUCUAAGUCCAUAACUAUAAUUGGUACGUACUUGACCUGAUUGGCAUGGUCCAUUUGGGUUGCAUGGCAUCGGAACAAUUUGGAUAGACUUUUGUUAGAAAAGGAUAAUUAUGAUUUGUUAAUAUAUUAUAACUUCUAAUAUAUUAAUAUGAAAUCAUAUUAUUUAAUUAGUAUUGAUCAAGAAUUAUUUUGGAAUUAAUAUUGUGAUCAAAAGGAGACUAAUUAAAUAUAUGGGGAUUGAUUGUGUAAAUCAUUCAUUCUUAUAUAUGUGGGCUUAUGAUCCAUAGUUCUUCAUGUUGGGCUAAAACCAUGGAGUAACCCAUGGAUACUCCAUAGAGGUUUUAACCCAUGGAGCAUGAAGAAUAUGGAAAUACAUGAGUUACAUGGUGUAACCCUAAUAGCCACCAUAUAUAAGGAACCAUUGGCUCAAGAAAUUAGCACUAGUGUGUGUACACAUGAGGGCUAGCAAAUUUGAGCAUAUGAACCUUUUCUCUCAAGUUACUCCAAGAUGUUGGUGUAACAACGUAAAUUUCAAAACCAAUUUUUUUCAUUUUUCAUCAACCAAGUGCAUAUAAAACAUUCUCAAAUAUUUCCAACCGCAGUUUUUAAGACAUAACAUAUCCCAAGAUCAUAAAAAUCAAACUCUCUCUCUCUCUCUCUCUCUGGUGUGUACGAAUCACGCCGGCACCUUCCCACGGUCUUCGCUAAUACCUGAAACACAUAACACAACAACUGUAAGGAUAAUUGCUUAGUGAGUUCCCCAAAAUACCGCAUACAACACAUACGCCACUUGAGGCUAUAAUACGACCCUCCGGUCGAUGUGUCUCAGCGGGAACCUCCAAUCCCGUAGCUCGUUUGACCCUCUGGUUCGGUCAUAGCUCGUUGGACCAUCCGGUCCGGUCUAUAACAUCAUACAACAUACAUAUAUCACAUAGCACAUAAUUUCAUACGUAACACAUAAGACCCUCUGGUCAACACAUAAUACCACUCUAGGUAACGUAUAGUGAGAAGACUCACCUCAAGUGUCUCGGUAUAUCGUUGACUCGGUAGAAAUGUGAUCUAGCCUCCGCCUAAUCACAUAAAGUAAAUCCUCUCAUAAAUAUAACUAUACUCAAACCUUUCUUAACACCCUCAGAAGGGUAAAAGACCAUUUUACCCCUUUCUUGGCUUAAAGGUCUCACUGUUAACCAAACCCUAAAAGUCAACAAAAUUCAACGGUCAAACUUUGACCCGAAUCGUCGAGUGCACUUGGGCAACUCAGCGAGUCUACACGUGUCCACUGACUCUCUUAAUCCUUCUCCUGGCACGUCGAGUCCUUCCCCUUACUCGACAAGUCACACCUGGCAUGAAUCGCGGGGCCACCCCGACUCAACUCACCGAGUCUCAAGAACAACUCGGCGAGUUCCGCCUUGAACUCCAGUCCCCUAACUCUCCCUGAUUCACCGAGUUAUUUCCCCAACUCGGCAAGUCUACUCACUGAGUGAUUUACCGGAAACCCUCAUCCAACUCACCGACUCUGAUCUUUGGACUCGGUGAGUUCAUGCCAUGCACAAACUCCAUAGACCUCCUGAGGUCAGAUCUGUUCCUUAAAUUCAUAGAUCUGGCCUUCUCAAGCAUGAUAAUCACGUAAAGUUCCGACCUUGACACUCAUAAAAUAUCUAAAUGGUCUUAACAUGGUGAUUUAGCCCCAAAAAUGACAUCCCAAGCUCAUGGCUCCCAAAAUAACUCAUAAAGCUCCAAGGGUUAAGGUCUCUGGACCUCUUUGGGUCCAGAUCCAAAGCAUAGAAUCGAGAAGGGACCAAUUGUUCCACUUAUCCAUCCUCUAAAGGGGGUUAGAAAACCCUAACUCUAUGAAUCAACACCAAAACUGAAGAAGGUCUGAACAAAUACCUCAAUAUGGUCUCUAUGAACUCAGAAGUCACCAAAAUCGCACCUCCUUCAGCCUCCUCUUGCCUUGGUCACCUCUUUCUUGCAAAUACACCAACAAAAGGAUCAAGAAUGGCCUCUCCUUCCUCACAAACGCUCUAGAUCUCUUAGGGAUUCUCUCUGGGGUUUCGUAGCCACAAAUGACGGCCCUAAGGGCCUUUAAAUAGGUCCCAAACCCAGAAAAUUAGUGUUUCAUUAAACAGGGUGGACUCGCCGAGUCCACUCAUGAACUCGCCGAGUCCGACUAUGAACCUGGAUACGAAUUCGCGACCAUACUCGGCGAGUUGAAACACCAACUCGCCGAGUCUCCUCACUACGUCCAAAAAUAAAGGAAUAAAAUAUUAUACCUGGGAAUCCGGAUGUUACAAUUCUCCCCCACAAGAAUUAGACUUCGCCCUCGAAGUCUUACUCUACAAACAACUCUGGAUGCGGCUCCCGCAUCUCACGCUUCGACUCCCAAGUCAACUCUGACCUUUUCCGAUGUUGCCACUGGACCUGCACCAGAGGCACCUCCUUGUUCCUCAAAACCUUGCUCUUCCGAUCCCUAAUCGCCACNACCACUACCAACUCGUCGGCUAUACACUUUCGCAGCUGCGACACGUGGAAAGUGUCAUGAAUCCGACCCAACUCUGCUGGUAACUCCAAACGGUAGGCUACCCUACCUACCCUUGCGAUCACCUUGAAAGGACCAAUAUACCGGGGCCCCAUUUUUCCCCUCUUCCUGAAUCGAAUCACUCCUUUCCAAGGAGAGACCUUCAGGAGCACGAAGUCGCCGACCUGAAACUCGAGCUCGGACCGGCGUCUGUCCGCAUAACUCUUCUAACGACUCUGAGCGGUCAACAACCUCUGUCUGACCUGCUGAAUCUAAUGUGUCAUCUGAAGCACAAUCUCGGUACUACCCAUCACACGCUGCCCUACUUCUCCCUAGCAAAUGGGGGACCGAAACCUCCUCCCAUACAACAGCUCAAAGGGCGGCAUACCAAUGCUCGAAUGAUGGUUGUUGUUGUAGGAAAACUCUACCAAGGGAAAAUACGUGUCCCAACUCCCGCCGAAAUCCAACACACAUGCUCGGAGCAUGUCCUCGAGCGUCUAAAUCGUCCACUCACUCUGCCCGUCAGUCUGUGGGUGGUAUACGGUACUAAAAUGCAGUUUCGUACCCAAUUCCUCAUGAAACUUCUUCCAGAAUCUGGAAGUGAAACGUACAUCUCGAUCUGAGACAAUCGAGAUCUGCACUCCAAGCCACGAUACCACCUCUCUCACGUACAUCUUUGCCAACCUCUCUACGGAAGAGCUCUCACUGAUAACCAUGAAGUGAGUGCUUUUUGUCAACCUGUCCACAAUCACCCAAAUUGCAUCGACACCCCUCGCAGUCCUUGGCAAUUUGGUGAUGAAAUCCAUGGUAAUCUGUUCCCAUUUCCACUUGGGGAUCUCUAACGGUUGCAUCUUACCAUGUGGACGCUGGUGCACGACCUUAACCCUGCGACAGGUCAAGCAUCUCUCUAUAAACCAGGCAACAUCCCUUUUCAUACAAGGCCACCAAUACUCCCUUUUUAGGUCCAAAUACAUCUUAGUGGCCCCGGGAUGGAUCGAGAACUUCGAUCGAUGAGCCUCUUCCAUCAAAAUGGUAUGCGUUCCGCCCACAGACGGUACCCAUAUCUGACCCUGAAAUGUCAUAAGCCCCCGGGUGGUAUAGGAUCUCACAAUCAUAAUCCUUGACCACAUCCAACCACCUCCUAUGGUGUAUAUUCAGGUUGGGCUGAUCCAUCAAAUACUUCAAGCUCUUGUGGUCCGUGUAUAUCGUACACCGAACCCCAUAUAGAUAAUGUCGCCAGAUCUUGAGGGCGAACACUACCGCUCCUAAUUCCAAAUCAUGAGUGGGAUACCUCGACUCAUGAGGCUUAAGCUGCCUCGAUGCAUAUGCUAUCACAUGCCCCCUCUGCGUAAGCACCACUUCCAAUCCGGAUAUCGAUGCAUCACAAUAUACCACAAAAUCCUCCAUCCCUUCCGGAAGGGCUAAAACUAGGGUUUCGCAUAAUUUUUGGCGAAGUGUCUCGAACGAGGUCUGCUGUUCCGGACCCCAAGAAAAUGCAUCACCCUUCCGGGUCAACUUGGUGAGUGGCAUGGCGAUCUUGGAGAAAUCGUUAAUAAAUCUCUGAUAAUAGUUGGCCAAACCUAGAAAGCUCCUGAUCUCGGUGGGUGAUCUCGGCACCUCCCACCUCAUGACCGCCUCAAUCUUAGCCGGAUCGACCAAUAUCCCAUUCUGGUUAACGAGAUGCCCCAAAAACUGAACCUCUCGUAACCAGAACUCACAUUCGGAGAACUUGGAAUAAAGCCUCUCCGAUCUCAGAACUUCGAGGAUCUCCCUCAAAUGCUCCUCAUGCUGCUCUCUGGAUCUUGAAUACACCAAUAUGUCGUCGAUGAACACAAUCACCGAGCGAUCCAACAUCGGUCUGCACACUCUGUGUUGGGUUAUGUGCAUUCUAACACUUCCUAAGUGUACAUGCAACCCUAAAUACCUUGGAUCUAUGUUUUCUCUAUUAUACAUGCAAAUAAGAACAUCCAAGGUAUUAUCCUAAUCUAGCAUACAAAAACUAUGAAUGUAACAAGAUAGAAUACAUACCUCUUGAUGUAGCUUGAUGUCUUCAAGCUUUAAGAGCUUAGCCCCAAUAGUGUGGAAGCCUCAAGUGGAAUCACAAAUCACCAAGACACCUUGGAAUACUUUAGAGAAUAUGAUUACUUGGUUCUCUCUAGUGAAAUUGGCUAGCCCUUCUUUAGUGUAUCCACACUAGUGCCAAUUUCACCAACCAAAGACAUCUUUAUAUAGUAUGGAGGAUUAGGGUUAAACCCUAAUACCCAUGACCUUUCAUUUCCUAGGAUCCAUGGGUUAAACACUCCAUGGACUAUCCAUGAAAGCUUAGCCCAACCUAAAUGAACUUGGCCCAUUCCAUAUAUAUAAGAGUCCAUAUUUAAUUAGUUCCUUUUGAUCACUUAAUUAAUUAUAAAUUAAUUCUUGAUCAAUACUAAUUAAAUAAUAUGAUUCCAUAUUAAUAUAUUAGAACUUAUAAUAUAUUAAUAUUAAUCAUAAACAUACUAUUCUCAAAAGAUUAUCCAUAUAAAUUGUGUCGGUGAAGUGCAACCCAAAUGGACCAUGCCGGGUCGGGUCAAGUACAUACCAAAUAUAGUUAUGGACUUAGACAUUAAUCCAACAGUCUCCCACUUGGAUAAGUCUAAAACUAUUAUUGCGUAUGACUUCAAACCUAACUGGCAAUCGUAGCUCUUAAAGCUGCUGUCGAACUCUGAUCUUGUCAACGAACUUGUCCAUUAGAUAAGGGAUCAUAUAUUCCUCCAUUCUAGAUAUCAUAUGGACUGAGACAUGGAUUAUAAUCAUUCUCUCUGUCCAUUUGUUGUUUCCCGAUUUCCGAUUUAUGACGACUGACUAAUUGAACAAAUCAAAUCAGUCCUGGCCCGGCCGAGCACUUCCAUUUGUCAUCAUCAAAUCAUCGAGGGGCCCACAGAUAUCGCUUUUAUCCCGAAGGUAAAAGGAAUGGAUAAACUUCGACUCAUAUGGCUUGUUCUACUACUUGUUGAAUCAUACACAAAGGCACGUUUUAUAGCACCGAGUUACCAAAUGCGUUUUCGUGCAAUCAAUGUACAACCAACUCAUAGUAACAACUCAUAUCUCUAGGUUUGAAGAAUAUAAGAUAUUAUCGUCUCAUGAUCACUCGUGAUAAAAUCCAUGAAGUGAUUCCAAUGAGCGCGGGUUGAAUCCAAUACUCAGAACUUAUGAGCACUCAUGAGUGUUGUAGCCCUUUGUCCAACACCUUAGACCUCUACAAGCCAACCCAUGACAGUCUUAAUUCAUAUCUACUUCCAACAUAUGACCGACUGUGGAUGGUUUGAAUAACUUAGUCAUUCCGGAAGAAUAACCUAGUUUAUUCGGGAAGUCAAAACAUGCAAAGUGAAACACAAUAAUAAUUGAAUCCAAUAUGGUAUCAACCCUUUGAACAUAAAUAAAACACCUUUUAUUUAUCACCAUAUGAUUACACAUUAUUCAUUGUAUACUGUUUCAGCUAUCAACUUUAUUCUUGAAUUUAAAACAAUAGUUGUCCCAUGCUCCAAGCAUGUACACUAUGUUUUCUUAAACACUAGUCAUGCCACACACCAAGUAUGCAUACUAUGUUUGUCUAUGAUCUUUACUUUGUGAACUAGAUCAAUUGAACAUAACUUCAAUGAUUCUCUUUUCACACUCCCAAAUCCUUACUGCAAAUGCAAGAAUUCCAAAUUCAUGCCAUUUACUGAAAUCUGUUAGAUUCUAAACUUAUAUGCAUUGAUCCUCUUGUAAUGAUUAUGCACAAAGUCACAAAGACUUGGCAACAAUCAUUACAGAGUAUUCCAAAGGAGAUCAACUCCUUGGAAAUAUCCUUCUUGCAUUAAGUUUCCUUAAUCUUACACAGAUUGAAAAUUCUAACUUUGAAACAUUUCCAGAUUCCAUUUUGACUAUCACUUCUGAACAAGAGUUGCCUCCUUACAGAUUAUGUCAAUAUGGUCCUUCCAGAAUUAUCACUAUACUUCCAAUUGUCCUUGAGUAACCAAUCUUUGGUAAACCUUAGAUUGUCCUCGACAAUUGUUUAAUCCUUUUAGUCAUAUCCAGUUCUAAACCUUUUCCCUUCUUAAUGCCCCAGGCAUUUGGAAAAUUUUAGAACGGAUGAAUAUAGCACAUGUAAUCGAUCCUAUAUCCGAAGCAUAUGGGACACGAUUCAUGAUGUCUUACAUAAAGACUAAACCAGUCUUUUGCUAUAAUAUUUCCAUUUCAAUUUGCCAAGUUCUCAUAAUUCAGAUUAUGAAAAGGGAUGCCGUAAUCAUAAUCGAAUUUUAGAACGCAAAUAAUGGACCCAUAUACAGAAUUUCCUUAUGUUGAGCCAUUCCAACAUGAAAUUCAUAUAUAUCCUUGACUAAAUGAUUAAAACCUCACGAUCUAAGCUUAUAGAUUUGAGAUGAAGCAUAAUUUCCUCUCCCUUAAUUAUAGCAAAACAACUUUUUCCCAAUUGAAACUUUUGUUUUCUAUAAUUAACAUUGCUAACUUGCAAUACUUAUCAUAAUUAUCAUGCUCCCACUAACAUGAUGAUUAUUAGCAUAACACUUAUGCUCCCACUAGCUUUGACAUGUACUCAGAAAUCAGCUGGACAGUCUGAAAUUUAGAUUCAUACACCCUUUCCGUAGAUAGCUCACCUGUGUGUCUAAGCAAUUUCAAGAACCAUGAAAAGGGAUACCGUAAUCAUGGUCUCAAUUGCUUAGGCAUUUGCCAUUUCUCACAAGUCCAUGUUAGUGUGCCGGUUAACCACACGCGCUCCACUAACGACUUUUGAAAAUGCAAAUAACACAAUUGAUAUCUUCGUAAAAUCUACUUAGUGAAAGCGUUUCCUCACCAUCAUUUUCAUGAAUCGGAGAGAAACCUUAUGACACUUAGAUUUAUAUGGUGUAUGAGUUCCUACCCAUAUGAAUUUGUCAAACCAUAAUCACAAGACAAAGAUAAUGACAAAUCCAAAACCAUAUGGAUUGAACUCAAUCUUAACUUCUUGCCACCUGGCAGCUCAAGGGCCUGCCAUUGCUUCCAAGUUGUUAUGCAACAAACUGAGAACUCUAAGAACUCAUAUGCAAAGCCAACUUUAACUGGAAUGGGCACAGAUAUGUCAACACGAUAGGUUAUAAACCUCAAGUCGUGUGCUAGUGAAGAACUUUAGGUUUUAUUCUUGAUUAUUUCUUGAGACUUUCAAGACCUUUAAGACUCCCACUGUCCUCUUGACAUAUAAGACUCCCUUGUCAAACAUCCAAGAGAUAGUGCGGAUUCUAAUCAAGAAAAACACUUUACCCAAUUGGCCUAAGUUGGUCUUUGUUUUAUCCAAAACAUCACAACUUACCAAUUUCAAAUGUACAAGAGUAGAAAACUUUUACUCUUACAUUUGACAAGUGUUUUAAACCUUCUUUAAGACAUGUCACUCAAAUGACAAUCUUGGAGUAUGACUCUAAGACUUGUAUUGGAACGAAGUAUGACUCAUCUUCUUGAUUUAACCAUUUCAACAAUUCAAGUUCCUCUUCUUAGUCAUAAGAAUGCACUAAGAUUUCCUUAGAGAACUAAUUUUGAUAUGGUUUCUUAAUCAUUAAGAUGAUCACAAAACUGAUACUAAAGUACUCUCCCAUCUUUUCAGAUUUGAGAAACUUUUAUCCUUCUGCCUUAUUUGAUUCUUCUUAUCGAUCUUUAGUGGUGGACUUAAUCAGUGCACAAGAAUGUGUACUCGAUCCCUAAGUCCUUUACUUGACUCACACAUCCAUGUGAACAAGUAAUUAGUCUUAAUUUUCCAAAACUUGAAAGUUCUCAUUCAUCAUGCUAUACAACUUGCAUGAUUCCAAGUUCCGGUCCAAUUGAAACUUGGGUGAUGAGAAUCUUUCCUUAUUUGGUAAAUUUAGACAUUACCACAAAUGAAAGAAUCAAUUUCAUAUUUCCACUCUUGCUCUUAAUGGAAUCAUAUAAGCAACAAUUUUUCCUCAAAUGCCAUUGUAAGGAUAUUUUAAAAUAAAUAAAAAAAAAAAAAAAAAAUUUUCUUUUAUUUUAAAACUUUGCGGAAAAACUUAUCCUUACAAUCCAUAUGAAAACUUGUUGUUAUCUAUUCCUAAGCAAUAUCUCAUAACUCCUAAGAAGUAGCUCAAGAAUCCGAUCUUCAAACUAUGCGAUAGAAAUCCAUCUACGCCAUCAGAUUCAGCAUAUUCUUUCUUUAAGUUUCUUCACUUUUCUUUGAUUCUUAAAACAUCACCAUGUGACCCAGUCACAUCAUGUAUCAAGAAUCUCAGAAUAGAAACUUAACAGAGUUAGAUAGUGGACUUUACCUGAAGUAGAGUCAAACUUAUUGACUUUAACAUCCUUAGGUAAAUUUGGCAGCUUCGCAACCAAUGCCCCUUCCUUUGGCAAUAUAAACAUAUGGACCCUUUGAUAAUGGUACACGAGACUAUCACAGACUUAGCUUUUCUCUUUACCAUUUGGUCAACCGAGUUGACUAUGGCCGAUCCCUUUCCAUUGGGAAGAGAAUGCUUUACUGGAUAUCCAAUGUCAUCAUUGUCAAUGUCCAUAAAGUUUUAGGAAGUUGAUCUUAGCAAAUAGAUAAGAUCAUUAAGGGUCUUGUCAUAGUCUGUUUCAUAGGUGUCCCAAAGGAACUCACUAUGUGACUUAGAAAGUGGUUGAACCACCAACUUUCUCAAGACUUUGACACCCAACUCUCCCGGCUUGUCAAUAUGUGACUACAUCUCCAAGAUGUGACCACACCUAGACCUUGCCUUGCCAAUAGGGCCUGAGUGACCUUAAACUUUUCAAGAACUUGUGGGUUAGGGAGAAUAAUUUGAAGAGGUGAAGAAGUAUGAUAUCCAUGGGACAUCAUCUUCAUUAGGAAACCUUGUUUCAAGAGAUUUGGGAAGAUCAUAGGUGUCUAAACCAGACAUCUUUUGGGAGAUAUUCAAGAUAGUUGAUUUAAAGUCCUUAAUAU
Molecule: long non-coding RNA, 54020 nt
Filed under: Lactuca sativa (garden lettuce)
Lineage: Eukaryota; Viridiplantae; Streptophyta; Magnoliopsida; Asterales; Asteraceae
Description: long non-coding RNA (LSAT_LNC000953)
Source: RNAcentral